AUUCAAAUCCUUAACAUUUAACAUCCUAAGCUACCAAAAGAAGAAAUGAGAAAACUAGCCUCCAUUUCAAGCUAUCUAAGCCUCUUACAUUCCAAGCUAGGAUCCUCACAUCAACUAAUUUUAAGAGUUCACAUCCUUUUUGCUCUUUAAUGCCCACAAUCUUUUCUGGUUAGGCAUAAACUGGCCCCAUAAAAACCAAGUGAGGCUACACUUGCUCAAUUGACUACCUGAUUACAAGUAACUCAUUUACCAAGAGCAAACAAGAUACACAUGUUGAUGCUGCUUGAUAGCACAAGCAUAAGUUUAAGGGAAAGCAUACCCAAGUUCGAGGGAAAGCAUACCAGUAAAUAUUACACCUAGACGACCAAUUGACCACAAUAGCAUUCAACCUCGACAAAUAAAGUUCAAAAAAGGCACUAGAACUAAGUUAUCUAACUAGAAUAAAAACAAAAAUGGGUUCAUGAAAUUCAGUACUUAACAAGCUGAUGUUGAACAAUAACAUUUGAAAUUAUUAUCAGAAGUUAAGAGUUUCAAUGUUGGAUUUUAAAUAACAGGUGUUUAGCAAUUGUAAGAGAAAACCGUAUGAUCAAAGCUAAAAGCUUUUACCUGCAACAAACCUUGGACGUUGCAGAGAGGCUCCAUAAAUCAAUUCACUUUAAUUUGAUCAAUCAUAAUAAUAAUUAGCUAUCAAUGUCUUUAGAUACUUGUAAAAAAGUGGAGAAAGCUCUAAAUCAUCCUCAACAAUGAACACAAAUUCAUCAUCACUGGCAGGCCACCAAGACUCGAGCCACUGUGCUUGCAAACCCACGUUCUAGGUCCUGUAAUGGACCAUCUUCCCUCCAUGUUUCCACUGAAACUCAUCUAUAAAUCCGAGAUUUUUUCGAGCUUCUUCAAGCUUUUGAUCCAAUAAAGCCCUAGAUUUGUUCCCCAAUUCAUCAAACCUCAAAUGGUCUACAUAUAUAUGGAGGGAUGUGCGAUCACCUGCAUAAUCAGCAUGGGCAAUAGAGUAAAGACAUCUAGUUAGAAAUGCCAGGCGAUCGUAUGUGAGGACCUUAAUAAUAAAGUGGAAAUUAGGGUUCAGGGAAUUGGGAUUUUUAGUGGGGUUCCCUGAAUUAGGGUUUUCAGGACUAGUGGUUGAUAUAAUGGGGACCGAUAAGCUGGUUCCUGAGCAAUUCGGGUUUACUGAGUGCAAUGGAGCACCCCUAGAAUCUGCAAAACUGGUCUCUGACAAAGUAGGGGGUGAAGAAUCAAGGUUUCCAGAAACUGGCUCAGCCAAUACAGGGUUUUGGACAAAGUAGGGGGUGAAAAAUCAAGGUUUCCAGAAACUGGCUCAGCCAAUACAGGUUUUUGUGAACUGGGGUUUAGAAAUCUAGGGCUUUGGAUAUUGGUUCUCUGCAAUUCAGUGCGAGGAUCCACAUUAGAGUUCCAGGUUUGUGGCAAAAAGAGAGGGAGUUCUGAGUGAUAGUAGAAAUAUUACAGAGACUGAGAGGAAGAACAAUGGGAGAAAUUUAUGGUGUGAAGGCAUGGAUUUAUUACCAAAAUCUGGUAGCAUUUCAUCCGUAUUACUUAUCUGGUUCCUCCCCCUCUUUUCGCAGAGAACGUCGUGUCUUCCAGAGCAACAACGAGCUUGGGAACUCAGGUUGGUUAUAGCUCAGGUAUUUUGCCUCUUUUUGUAAGUUCUAAGGUUUUACAGAUAAAAUGGUGAGUUUCCAGUAGUUGGGUAGUUAUAGCCAUGGCCAUUUUCUCUUCUCUUUUACUGUUGUCGAAGGAUCUCGGUUUUUGGAGAGGUGAAAUUCCACAAACUCGGGCAGUUGGCAGAGAAAAAUGGAGGCAGCUUUGAGCCAUGCCCGAUAUUUCGGUUUUCGAUUUCGUUGCGGGACACCUGAAAUCUCGACCUUGCGAUUGGGACGAGGUUUAAAUCACGUUCACACCACAAUAAAACGGGAUGGUCCGUUUCUUUUUCAUUACUGUAACGGGCGUUGGCAUUCGGCCUAGCCCGCACAUGUACACUGUAGUUGUGCUGAAAUUUCGACAUUACACAACAAAGUACAGUGUAGUUGUGCCGAAAAAGCGAAGGACGCGGUUAGCAUUCGACCAAGCCCGCACAUGUACAAAUGCGGGCUUGACAAUAAAUUAUUUUUUAAAUGUAAUUUGAUCUUAAUUUUUAGAGAAUAUAUAAUCUUUACUCAUGAAUAUGAAAAACUAAAUAAACCUUGAAAAUUAAAAAUAAUGGUUAUAUAAAGAAAAUAUUUGAACCGUUAAUUCCUAUUGUCUUUAGAUGAACCACCUAUUUGCAUCCAUAUUAGAUGUUUUAUGCCUCUGGACUGUAUAUUAUACAAAUACGGUCUCGCUUGAAACAAUUGAUCAAAAGGGACGAUAAAUGUAGAGCAUAUUUGAUUUCAAGGAGUUCUUGGAAGUGGAAUUUGAAUGUCCGACUUCUAUGUUUGAUUUUGUUGUGUGGAAGUGUGGCUUUCCGAGUAACAAUUUUUUACUAUUAAAAUGGUUCUUGUUUUUUAACAUUGUCCUAUAAAAAACGAUGGGAGAGAAGUCUUCUAUAAUUUGUAGGUGGCUCCCAAAAUCCCUGGGCGUCAAACACGCCCAUAAAGGGAAAAGUGGAAGAAAUAAUAGAUGAGAAAAAUAGCCAUUAUAAUGAAAAUAACGACUGUUAUAACAAUACUUACAGUUAUUCCAUAAUAGAAAAUUUACAUGUCCCCCAAAUUCUGUUGUUUAAGGGAUUGUUUACAAAGAGACUUUUUAUCUUUGGAAAAAGUUUAUAUAGAGCACAGGCUCUAAACAAUAAAAUUAUAACCCACUUCAAAAAUUUUACUAUAAGAUGUUGUUUUGAUGCCCAAAUAUCCUCAAAUUGAUCAUCUCGAUUCCAAGAUGCAUGUUCAUGAUAAAAAAAUGGAUUCCAAGUUUUGAAAAUAGUACAUCUUGUGAUGCAAUUUUUUACCAUCAAUUUUCAAAAUUUUCAAGUUUUCAUAGAUUGACUCUAUUUACAUUAUUUUUUUAAGCUUUAAAUUUGAAAAUUAAAUAUGAAAAUAUAUUUUAAGCCUAUCACAUAGAUUUCCAAUAUUAAAACGACAUUUCUCGACAUUAUUUGAAGGUGCGCUCUACAUUGAUUGUUCAGAGCCUCGGCUCUAUACAAACCACACCCUUUAUCUUUUGUCCCACGAGGUCACAAUCACUCUCACUCACUAGAUAUCAAAUUAGAUAGGCUGAGGCACGAGGAAUUUUUUAAAAAAUGUCUAUUCAAUAACACUCUUACAACCACCCAUUUUGAAAUCUAAGGGACAAUAAUGAUUGUGACAUCUAUGUACAAACAAUAAAUGGUCUCUUUGUAAACAAUCCCUUUGCCUAGGCUGUAAACAAUCAAAUUGAUAAGCACCUCAAAAAUUUCACUAGAAGUUGUUUUGAUGCUAAAAUAUCCUCAAAUCGAUCAUCUUGAAAUCAAAAUGCUCAACAUGAAAGAAAAAUGGAUAUCAAGUUUUGGAAAUAGUGCAUCUUGUAAUAAUUUUUUGGAUCAUUCAUUUCCAAGUUCAAGUUUUCAUAUAUCUGCUCGAUCUAUACUACUUUUUAAGCUUGAAAUUUUAUAAUUAGAUAUGAAAAUAUAUUUUAGGGCUAUCACAAAGAUUUUCAAUAUUGAAACCACAUUUCUCAAUACUAUUUGAAUGUGCACUGUAUUUUGAUUGUUUAGAGCAUGGCUCCAUACAAACCACACCUUUUAAAUAAUUCCUCCUUUUUUCUUUUUUUUUUUAGUUUGUACCUUUUUUUCGAAUGUUGUUUACUUUUGACCAAACUACUCCUAUUUCGGAUCUUGAAUAUUUGGUUUUUUUUUUUUCCUUUUUGGCUCAUGAACUUGUUGCGGACUUGCUAAUCUUGAAGGUCCAAAAUUGUUACCAAAUAUCAGCUUCUGCUCUUCAAUAUUUGAAGCUGAUCUUUGUCCAUGUAAAUUUCUAGGGUUCAUUUGAUAGAGAUCUAGAUGUAAUGUUAAAAAAUGUAUAAUGGAUUGUAUGUUGUUCAGUAUAUUAAGAAGAUUGUGUCAUGUAACACGAAGAUCACAUAAUGCAUGACUUUUUGUCAACAGAUUCAUACAAUGAAUGCAUUGUAUAUUGUGUGUGUUCAUACCAUGCAAUAAGAAGAUCAAAUCAACUUUAGAUCGCAAGGUCUUAAAUUGAUUUGGGAUUAUAUUUAUGCGGAAAAAAAAAUCAAAUUUUAUACUUCAAAAGUUAGUCUUUGGAACAACUUCUGACUUUCAAGAUUCGAAAUAGCUCUAUGAGAAAAUAAAUAAAUAAAUUUUAGACCUUUAGGACCUAAAUUGGGAGCAUUUGGUCAAAAAAAAAAAAAGAAAGGGAAUUUAUCAAACUACUUAUAAGAGAGGGACAAUUUAACACUUUCCUAUUACUUUUGAUUUAAUUUCAAAAUUUAUAUAAAAAAAACCACAUGGGCUUGAGUUGGGAUAGUUACAAACCGUCAAAACAUUAAAUCGUUCGUCUUUUAUGGGCAUUUUGGUCAAGUUCCCCAUUAAAAACUUGAAAAAAAAAGGGUAUGGUUGUAAAAACAAAAAUUUAGAGGACAUUUUUUAAAUAAUUGUAAUUGGGGUUUAUGUGUGUAAAUUUAUCUUCCGUAUAUGCUAAAAGACGAGGUCCCCUCCCAAAACAAAUCUAAAGUUGGAUUUUGGAUUCAAAUUUUUGUGAGCAUAGAAUCUAGAUCAUGAAUCAAAAAGAAAAUAUAUCUUAAACUUUUGAAAGUCAUCUAUUUUUUUGUUUUUUUUGGGGGCACCACUCUUUUAAAUUCUUUGUGAUCAUCAAAUAUAUAUUAUCUUUCAACCAACAAAGCUCUUCCCCAUUGUUAUGAACGGGAUCAAGGGCAGUGGUCAAGGUGGCGGAGCGCUACAAAGUGAUGUCUUGAGUUUCAUUCCUAUCACAAAUAAGGGACAUCUUCCUCACUCAAUAACACCCCCUAAAAAAAAAAUAAAAAAUUUAAUUUACUUCAAAAAAAGAAAACAACAUAUCUGUGAUAGGAACAUAUCUUGAAUGGUUAAAUAUUUGCUUCCUAUCCCAAAUCAACAGGAACUGAGGAUAGGCUCAUGGCAUGGACAAAAAGUUCUACAUAAUUGGGGAAAGUGUAUUUGAUAUCUAAGUUCUUAUCAUAUCUUUGGAGUUAUUCGUAACUCUUCCAAUACAUUUAUUUUCUUAGGAAUUGAGGUAAUCCUUUUCAAAGGUCAGGGACUCUUGUUGCUAGAUUUCCACUUCAUAUGGUAUAUUUUUUAGAAAUUUAUGCUCGUGUUCCUUUAGAUAUAUGCUAUUGUACAAAUAUUUUUAUUUAUUUUUUGUGUGUUUUGUUCAUAUUUUUAAAUUUUUUUUAUUUUUAUUUUUUCUAUAGAUUAGUGUUACUUUGGAUCUUGAAGGUUUGAAAUAUCUGAACUUGGGACCUUUAUUUGGACCUUGAAAAUUCGAAAUGAGUUUUCCAGAGUUCACCUCGGCCCCAAAGUGAUGGGUUGUUGUUAUUUGUCACUUAAAAAUUUUAUUUUAUGUCAUGUGGACUUAGACCAUAUGUUAACUUGCCAACAGUCUCCCGAUACUUGCACAUACAUACAUCUUUGGUUCGCGUGUGGAAAAAUUUCUUCAUGUAGUUAGAUGUGAGAAUAUUUUCACACCAAUUGAUCCCAUCGCAUCUUUCCACAUUAAUUAACAACUAAUUGAUGUGAAAAUAUUCACAUACCUAACUACAUGAGGGAAAUUUUUAACAUAAAAAUAUUUCUUGAGAGAUAUUUUCACGCGAAUCAAAGGUGCCCUUGGCGUUACUUUUCUUAAGUGUUGUGUUGCCAUUUCUAAUUGAAGUUUGCGUGAAUAAGUAGCUAAAUGUUUUAAGGUUCAUAGGAUGGGCAACCUAUUAUUUAAAUUUUGUAUCUAUGGACUUGAAUAUGAGUGGCAAAAAUGCCACUGCUAAACAUUGACACCCAUGUCAGUGUCCAUGUAAUAUUGGAUCAUAGCAAAAAUGUAAUUUUAGACUUUGUUUAAGAUCAUUGUAACUUCAAAUCUUGAUGGUCCAAAGUAUGAGUAUUUUGGAUUAAAAAUAAAAAAUAAAAAUGAGUAUGAACAUAAAAAAAAAUGAAAAUUUGAGGGGAUUUAAGUUAGGUGGCAUGAGCAUAAAAAAUAAGAACAUUACAAAGAAGCAGAUGGAUAACUACGACCAUGAAAUCACAAAUUCUAAAAUAAUGAUGUUCAUAUGGUCUAAUACUCUAAUAUUUGGAAGACUCAUGCAUAAUCACGACCCUGAAGUUGUGCCUUUGUGGUUUCUCAAACAAUGAUGUUUGUUUGAAGCCUCAAUUAUGGAGAGCCUCUUAUUUUCUGCUUGCUUUUGCUUCUCUACUGUUGUCACCGAUCUGUAAGAAUUUAACCAUGGUUUCUACUUUUUCAAGGCUCUGGUUUUUCGACUUACCGGCCCGUAUUACCGCGACACUCCAAUUUGAGCUUCGUUUUGUGUGCCGACAUUUGGGGACACUACAAGUAAUACAAAAAAGUUUCACCAAAUUUAUAGAUAAUAUUAAGCACAAUACCUCUUGAACAUAAAUCCCAAGCUCCACCAUUCUGCCCCUUUAACCUUCAUGUUAUGUUUUAGGAAUACACCCCCCCCUCCCCCACCACACACACACAUGCACAUGCACAUGUGUAUAUGUUUUGCCGGAUUAGUCUUUACACUGAAGUACCUGGGUUACUUGAAGCGGAUCCGGAUCUGAUCUGCAUAGACUUUCUUAUAGAUUGAGGUCAUCGAGAUUAUGCUAGGUCUCUAGCCCGCACUAGGUCUCUGACUCAUCAGCAUUAAUUUCGUUUUCAAGAAUGGGGGCGAAGCUGGUUCACUGGGCGGCAGAGAAAAAACAAUGUGUAACAAGUGAUUCAAUGGUCCUUGUACCACAGUGAAUAAAAAAAGAAAAAAAAACUUUAAAGAAAGACAUUUUACAUAUUUCAUAUAUGUGGGCUACCAUAAGUUGGUUUUGGUUCAUGUUUUCUUAUGAUUGGAUCCAUUUGUUGAUUUGCAACACAGUGAUUAGUAUGCAAAGCUACUAACAGGAAACAUAAUACAUCCCUGUCAUUGCUUACUUCUACCAAAUCUAUACUCUGUGAAUCCUCUUUGUUACAUAUUUCUUGGGUCGAAAUGCAUUAUAUGUCUUGGAUGUGCCUUUAGUUGCCCAAAGGAGCUGUUCCUGCUAUACAUUGCCACCCUCGAAUUUCCGGCCCUAUGUAAAAUCCUCCCACAAUUCAUAUUUAGCUCGAAAGAAUUCAUCGUAACAGAAAAAGCAAUCCCACUCCACCGACGAUCGAUUCUCUCAUGGUGAAUAUGUUUGAUAAAAUCAAACGACAAACACUUUCAACAAAACCUACAGCUAGAGAGGCCAAACAAAAGAAUGCAAAUAACUGAAAUAAACAGUAGAUAAUAGAGAAAUCUAUGCGCAUAUCCUCUGAAAUCCCUGUUAUUUAAGCAUUCUUUCAAAAAGUUUUCGUCCUUACGUUCAUGCCCAUUUUCUCAAUUUUUUUCAAAAUGAUUAAAUGGCCCAUACUUUCGACAGAAGUAGGAGAAUUCUGGUCAUUUAAAACAAAAUGCAAAAAAAUCAAUAUGAACAUAAUAACAACAUUUUUUGUGGAAAUUUUUAAAUAACAAAAAUCAUGGGGGAAUGAUGGUGAAUAAACUAGAGAAAGGGGGGAGAGGGUAAAGAGAAGAGGGAGGUGGAGAGAUAAAUAAGGUAAAGAGUGAGAAGAUGAAAAAAAAAGGGGAUUGAGAUAGUGAAAAGAGACGUUAAAAGGGUUUGGGAUUAGAAAUAGGGAGGCAACGGAUCAGCUCGAUCCGGAUCCGACCUGACUAAGUAUUACACGGACUUGGAUCCGAUCGGGGUUUAGAUUAUUUGGACCCAUACCCAAACCGGACUCGGGUCAGGUCCAAGUCAUUUGAACCUAGAUCUGACCCAACCAAUAUUACAUGGACCUAGACUCAACUUGGGUCCAGGUCCUAGUCAUUUGAACCUGGACCCGAACCCAGACCUGGACCUGAUCAUAGUAAAAAUUUAUGUUAUAUACCAUAUUAUGGUUCCGAAGGAUAAACUGGAUAUGGAUAGUUCUAAUAGGAUUUCAUUAUUUAACAAAAAUCUAUUUGAUGAUUUAUUUCACCUAUUCCAUGGUCGGAAUAAAGGUGGAUACACGUUACACCAUGAUUUUGAAUAAGAAGAGAGAUUUCACGAAAGGACAGAUCUAUUCAAUCUAUCAAUAACUGAGCCCGGUCUGAUGUAUCAUAAGGGAUUUGCCUUUUUUAUUGAUUCUUAAAGAUUGGAUAAAAAAAUUUAUUGAAUGAGGCAUUCUAACUCCAAGGAUGAAUUAUCGGUUCUCAUAUCUUAUAUAUAGUUUAUACCUGUUCAGGUCGACCUCGACCUAACCCAACGUCGGAACAUAUUUGAAGACAUAUUUGUGUGUUAUAAUCAGAAUUGAUGAUAUAUUUGAAGUUAAUUUUGAAAUGGGGACUGAAAAAAAAAUAAAAGAAGUGGAAUGACUAAAUUCAAGACCAUAUCAUAAUGUAACUUUUUUUGGUCCGUACAUAUUUUUCCUAAAUUAUAAUUUAAGAAAAAUAUCAUUUAAGGGAUUAAUCAUUAAAUGAUCCUAAGUAAUCUCAGUUGACAUUUGAGGGGUUAUUUUUUUUUUUUUUCAUUUCACUUGGACAUCUCCUAAAAAAAUAAAUAAAAAAAUAAAUUGUAAUUAUCAAGGAUGAACAAUCAAGGACAUUUAAGUAAAUUUAAAUGAGAUAAGUGAUCUCGAUUGAUGUUUGAGGUGUUACUUUUUCCUCUAAAAAAUUGUUUCAUGCAGCAAGGACCGUAUUUUUACAAUUGCGAUCCCUAAGGUAUGGUGUUAUUUUUGUAAUAAUAAACAACCAAGGGUAUUUUUAUUAUUUGUCACAUAUAACACUAAAUAACAAAAAAUACCCCAAGUUUAUCCUUCCCAAUCUUAAACAUAGCAAUAUGAAAUUUGUUUAAUCUUGGGAAAUUAUAAAAAUUAUAUCCUAAGUUUUGGAUUAUUAGAAAUAAACUCCAAAACUUUUCAUUACCUCAUCCAUACUUUGUUUUUUUUCACUUUUGCUCCUUUUUUUUUUAUCCAAAUAGCAUCCAUGACAGUCUUAAAAUUGUGAAGGCAACACUAUGGACUCACUACGAUGAUGGUCAUAGAUAGUUAUUUUUUUGAGAUAUUACAAUACUUAAAUAGCUAUGAUAGUCGUUAAGUGACAUCACAGCACUUAAAAAGUCGUAAUGGUUGUUAAGAGUUCUUAUGCCCUAUGACGAAGGUGUAACAAUUAAAUUAGAACUGUGAUAGUCCAAUAAACCAUCAUGGUUCUUUAAGUGUCAUGAUGCUUGAAAACUACAUUUGAUUGAGAACCCACCGUGACCAUCACGGAUUUCAAUACACCGUGAUGCCUUCACUUUUCUAAGACUACCAUGAAUGCUAUUUUCGUUUAUUCACCCAAAUAAAUUGUAUGGAUGAGGUUUUGAAAAAUUUGAGAUUUAUUUUUAAUAAUCCAAAAAUUAAGAUAUAUUUUUGAUAAUUUCUUUUUAAUCUUUUAGGAGGUACCUAAGUGAAUGGACAAGAAAAAAUAACCCUUCAAAUAUUAUUUAAGAUUAUUUGACCCCUUUGCUACGUAUGUACAAAAUUUCAACCCUUGGAAUAAUUUAUUCCUUGUAAUUCAUGACUUUCGAUUCAAUUCCACAGCUGACCUACUAAAAAAAUAAUAAUAAUAAAGGAAAAAGUUUCUAUAGAGCCAAGGCUCUAAACAAUCAUAUUAGAGCCCACAUCAAAAAUUUCACUAGAAGUUGUUUUGAUGCCCAAAUAUCCUCAAAUUGUUCAUCUCCACAUCAAGAUGCAUGCACAUGAGAAAAAAAUGGAUUUCAAGUUUUGGAAAUAGUGCAUCUUGUAACGUAUUUUUUGACAAAUUUCAAGAUUUUUAAGUUUUUAUAGAUCUGCUGGAUCUACAUCAUUUUUUUAGCUUUAAAUUUCAUAUUUAAAGAUGAAAAUAUAUUUUAAGACUAUCACAAAAAAAUUUAAUAUUAAAACCAUAUUUCUCGAUGCUAUUUGAAAGUGGGCUCUACUUUGAUUGUUUAGAUUCUCUGUUCUAUACAAAUCACGUUAUAAUUUUAGCGAGGUAGUUUCGCACGAGCCCCCCUCCACCAUGACUCGCAAUAGAAGAUGGGAAAGUUGUUUAGGGGAGAGAGGGAGAGAUCACCUUUUCAAAAGUACACGGUUUUUACGAGGACCUGGUCCCGCAUAUGUAGAAAGCGGGCUUCUUGAUAAAUUUAUUUUUGAGAUGGAUUUUAGGACUUAAAUUUUAAAGACAUGUUAUAUCUAACAUGGAGAUCAUGAAUAUAAAAAAAUAAAAAAUAAAUUUAAAAAACUGUAAAUGACAAUUAUAGUAAGAAAACAUUUGGACUAUUAAUUUCCAUUAUUUUUAGAUGGAUACCUACUUGGAUCCAUCUUUAAGAUGGAUGCUUUGGACUUUCCGGACCGCAUAUAUAGAAAUGUGGUCCAACCCGCAUGAAUCAUUUUUCUUUUUAUGAGUCCACGGAUUCACAUGUAGAAAUUCGGGCCACUUAACAAUUUAUCUUUGAAAUAGAAUUUAAUCCUAUUUUUCAGGAAAUAUACAAUCUUUAACAUGUAGAUUAUUAAGCUAUAGAAAUAAAUAAAUUUUAAAAUAAUAUACUUAGAAAAUAUAUCUGAACAGUUGAUUUUACUAUUUUUUUGGAGCACUAUUAUUUAUGAUGUAGAUCUACAUUUUCUUUGAUGGAUGAUGUAGAUCUGCAAGCCCACAUAAUAACAAGUGCUGGGGUUGAACGCACCAAACAAUUAUCCUCUUAAAAUAGAAAGGGAGGCUAGAAUAUUUCAAAAAUCUUGCUAGUUGGGUGGAUUCGCAUGAACAAGUGAAAGCUACCUACUCAACAUUUAUCUCCCCCUUUUCUCAUUAUCCAUAUCUCAAAGAAUAAUGGAUGCCACUCUUGUAGAGAGAGAGGGAAGAGGAGAGAGAAGCUGUGUUUUCAAGAGAGAGCUGUGUUUUUUUUUUUUUCAAAUGUUGAGAGAGAAAUUUUUGUGGAUGAAAUUUAAGGCCUAGGCUUUAUAAAAAUAAAAUAAAGCCUUAUCUCAAAUCUUUGUAUGGAAAAUAAUUUUGUCAACAAAGAUUUAUGUGAUGGCUCUAAAGUCAAUUUCCAAUAUGACAAUAAAAUUUGAGACUUAAAAAAUAGUACAGAUUUUGUAGAUUUUUUAACAUCUAUUUUAAAUGUAAAAAUAAACGGUCUAGAUAAUAUGUUAUAAUAUACAGUAUUUUUAGAACGUGAAAUCUUUUUUUUUUCACAACUAUAAUUUCAAGUCAAGAUAAUCGAUAUAAAGAUUUUUUAAUGACUUGAAAUUUUGGAUGAGUUAGGAAGGGACUUGCAAGAUAAUCAAUGUAAAGGUUUUUAAUAGUGCAAACCAUUUUCCUAUUUUUUUUUGUCACCCUUUCCUCAAAUAUAAAGAUACUCAAUCCCCUCACUCUCUCUUCUAUGUUUAUUCUCUCUCUCUCUCUCUCUUCUCUCUCUCAUAGCACGUGAAGCUGCCAACACUAGCUUCUCCGUCGCCUUUUAUAAAGGAGCCGGUCUCUCUCUUUUUGAGCUCUCCCUGUCUCCCUUGGGGGUGGCAAUGGAGACCUGAUCUAGAUCAAGAUUAGACCCAGAUAAGGACUUGGCCAGGUCUGUUAAUGUGACUUAGAUGCGGACCUGACUUAUGGUCAACUUCAAGUUAUUUGGACCAGUGUUCGUAAAAUCGAACUGGAACGGUUAACUGGAUAUGGGCUAAGGAGCGUUAGAACUGAAACCGGUCUAACUCGGUGGUUAACUGGAUCAGUUUGGUCCGGUAGAUUUUUUUUAAAAAAAAAUGAGUCAAAAACCCUAAUAAAAAAAAAAAAAAAAAAAACAAUAGAUUAAGUGUAUACUAUCUUAUUACCUAUAUUUAUCUUAAAAAAAAUUUGAAACCACUUUUUUAUAUAAAUUAAUAUUUAAAUACUAUAGAGAUAUGCAAGACAAUUCAUAAUUGGGAAAUAUACCUAUAUUUUUGCAAAAUUGAAAAAAAAAACCCAAACUUUCAAAAGCCUCAUCUACACCCUUUCUCACUAUUUUCGGGUUUUUUUGACGAAAUACCCUUAACGGUAGUCUUUCUACCAUAAUAUAUACUGCAAGUUUUACUAUAAUUAAAAUACCGUAAAAAUUCUAAAUAAUAUUACGAUACUUUAAGUAUCGUAAAUCUCUAGCCAUGAACGUAAAGCUAAUUACGGUAUUUUAAGUACCGUAAAAACUAAAAACCUAUUAUACGGCUUUUACGUACUGUAAAAACUAACCCAUGUUUUAUGACACUUAAAAUGUUGUAAACCCUUUUAUCUUUCUUUUAUAUUUAUCUCUUUCAUCUCUAAUUUUAUCUCUCUAAUUAUUUUUAAUAUUUAUCUCGUCUUUCUCUCUCUAAUUCUUUUUAAUAUUUAUCUAUUUUUUCUCUCUACAAUCUCAUCAUCGUUUCCUUAGACAAUAUUUAUCAUUAGAUAAUAUUUAUCUCUUUUAUCUCUAAUUCUUUUUAUGUUUGUCUAUUUUUUAUUUUCAAUUCUUUUUAAUAUUUAUCUGUUUUUUAUUUCUCGAAUUCUUUUUUAUGUCUUCUUUCUCACUCUACAAUCUCAUCAUCAUUUCCUUAGAUAAAUCAUGUCAUUUGUUUUGCAUAGCCGACGUCAGUGUAAAUCAUGUCAUUUGUUUUGCAUCGCUGACGUCAGUGUAAGUCAUGUCAUUUGUUUUGCAUAGCCGACGUCAGUGUUUGAUUACUCAGACGAGCCAAUUUGGACACAGCAAAAUAUCCCACUUAGGGAUAGAAAAUAUUUAGAGAGAGAAAGAAGAGAUAAAAAAGAAUUAGAGAGACAAAAAAGAGAUGAAUAUUAAAAAGAAUUAGAGAAAAAAUUAGAGAUGAAAGAGAUGAAUAUAAAAUAAAGAGAAACGGGUUUACGACAUUUUUAGUGCCGUGCAACAUUUUUUACGGUACUUAAAAUGUCGUAUAAUCGGUUUUAGUUUUUACGGUACUUAAAUAACCGUAAUUGGCUUCACGGUCAUUGCUAGAGUUUUAUGGUACUUAAAGUACUGUAGUAUUACUUAAAGGAAAAAGUUUAUAUAAAGUUGCAAUCUUAAAAUGUAGAAUCACAAAUGCACUUCAAAAAUCUAUCGGAAAGGUUGUUUUAAUGUUGAAAAACCCUUUAAUUUAUCAUCUCGACAUCAAUAUGUAUGAAUAUGAAAAAAAAAAAAAAUUUGGAGUCUCAUAAAUAGUGUAGCUUGCAACACAUAUACAGAUCGUCAAUUUUAAAGAUUUUCAUAUGUUUAUAGAUUUACUUGAUUUUAAACAUUUUUUAAUUAGAUAUGAAAAUAGAUUUUAAGAUAAUCCUAAUAUUUUUUUACAGCAAAAUUACAUGCUAUGAUAAAAUUUGGAGGUGUGCCUUAAUUGGAUUGUUUAAGGUUGCAACCUUAUAGAAACCGCACCCUUACUUAAAAGUUUUACGGUAUUUUAAUUAUCAUAAAACUUGUUAUGUGUAUUCCGGUAGAAAGACUACCGUGAAUGACAUUUUCGUCAAAAAAACCCAAAAAUAGUAAGAAAGGGUAUAGACGAGGUUUUUGAAAGUUUGAGGUUUUUUUUUCAAUUUCUCAAAAAUAUAGAUAUAUUUGCUAUAAUUUUCCUUCAUAAUUUGACAUUAAUUCCAUUGAGGGAGUUACAAAGUCCAAUUAACAAUGGCUAGUAGUAAUAAGAGUGGCGAGGGGGGUGAGGGUAUUGUUGUGUCUUGCUAUCAAGGUUUAUUGGGUAAAAAAUCUGAGUAACUUCAACAUUGUCAUUAUCAUGAAUAACCAGGUUACGGUGUAGGUUGUAACUUCAUGUCUCCCUUGCCUAGUAGUUGUUAUGCCUCGAUGCCUGGAUUUCCUCCCGAGCUAAUAUCAGUGGAUCAUCUUCUUGAAUAUUGGGAAUCUUAUCAUGUUGCGCCCUAUCACAUUCCUGGACGACUAGACGUUGCCAAUCAUUUUUCAUUAUCCUAUCUGUCUCAUCGUCAUCUUGCUCCUCAUCUUCGUCAUCUGCGUAUGUCAUAGUCGAUGUCCAUGUCCACUAUUGUGUCUCUCUCAUUGGGUGCUGCAACAUCCACAUUAUCAUCCAUAUCGACAAUUGCUAUUCUAAAGAAAUCCUAGUCAAGUACUGGGGUCCUUUGCGAUACCCACUCAUCGGCAAGGUCUUUUUGAAAGAUGUAAACAAGGUUGAUUGGAUUGUAAUAUGUGUGAGGGUCUUCCUUAGUUGCAUCUCUUUCAAAGUUGUAGUGGAGUACAUAAGGUUGUACAGCGUCUGAGUCUUUAACAUAUUCCGCCUCGAGGCAUGUAUCCAUUAGAAUGUAUUCCAGUUUUUCUUACAUUACGAUGAAGUACAUGUUUGACUCAAACUAUGACUGCAAUCUUUUGUAAUUGCUUCGUUUGAAUUACGUGUACCGUCCACCAAUACGCUGACAUAGACAAACAUAAAAAUACUUAAUAAUAGAAAAAAUUAAUUUAAAAAAAUCACAAAUAGUGUUGUACUAAACUAUUAUAGAUUAUAACUUAUAACUAACUUAGGAACAAUUUUGUAUCUGUUUUUUUGGCAUUGUUGUAUUCAAAUUGCUAUUUUUUUCCAUGUACAUGAUAAGCUACAAAGAACGAUAUGCAUAUACAAGAAAGUAGUGCAACCAGCGUUUUAAAAAACGCCGAGUUGAACCGGACUCGCCCGGUUCGACUUGGAAAUCGUGAAAAGGGGACCGGAUCGCCCAAAAAUCGAAAAUCGUCCGGUUCUAGAGAGAACCGGACGAUUCUGUACAGUGAAUCGCCGAUUCACUGUACGGAAUCGGCGAGUCCGAACAGUGAAUCGGCGAUUCCGUACGGAUUUUUUUUUUUUUUUUUAUUGUAAUCCAUGAUAGAUUUUUUUUGUAAUACUUGAUCGAUUUUUUUGUAAUCCAUGAUCGAAUUGNNNNNNNNNNNNNNNNNNNNUUGGUUUUAGUUUUUACGGUACUUAAAUAACCGUAAUUGGCUUCACGGUCAUUGCUAGAGUUUUAUGGUACUUAAAGUACUGUAGUAUUACUUAAAGGAAAAAGUUUAUAUAAAGUUGCAAUCUUAAAAUGUAGAAUCACAAAUGCACGUCAAAAAUCUAUCGGAAAGGUUGUUUUAAUGUUGAAAAACCCUUUAAUUUAUCAUCUCGACAUCAAUAUGUAUGAAUAUGAAAAAAAAAAAAAAUUUGGAGUCUCAUAAAUAGUGUAGCUUGCAACACAUAUACAGAUCGUCAAUUUUAAAGAUUUUCAUAUGUUUAUAGAUUUACUUGAUUUUAAACAUUUUUAAUUAGAUAUGAAAAUAGAUUUUAAGAUAAUCCUAAUCUUUUUUUACAGCAAAAUUACAUGCUAUGAUAAAAUUUGGAGGUGUGCCUUAAUUGGAUUGUUUAAGGUUGCAACCUUAUAGAAACCGCACCCUUACUUAAAAGUUUUACGGUAUUUUAAUUAUCAUAAAACUUGUUAUGUGUAUUACGGUAGAAAGACUAACGUGAAGGGCAUUUUCAUCAAAAAAACCCAAAAAUAGUAAGAAAGGGUAUAGACGAGGUUUUUGAAAGUUUGAGGUUUUUUUUUCAAUUUCUCAAAAAUAUAGAUAUAUUUGCUAUAAUUUUCCUUCAUUAUUUGACAUUAAUUCCAUUGAGGGAGUUACAAAGUCCAAUUAACAAUGGCUAGUAGUAAUAAGAGUGGCGAGGGGGGUGAGGGUAUUGUUGUGUCUUGCUAUCAAGGUUUAUUGGGUAAAAAAUCUGAGUAACUUCAACAUUGUCAUUAUCAUGAAUAACCAGGUUACGGUGCAGGUUGUAACUUCAUGUCUCCCUUGCCUAGUAGUUGUUAUGCCUCGAUGCCUAGAUUUCCUCCCGAGCUAAUAUCAGUGGAUCAUCUUCUUGUAUAUUGGGAAUCGUAUCAUGUUGCGCCCUAUCACAUUCCUGGACGACUAGACGUUGCCAAUCAUUUUUCAUUAUCCUAUCUGUCUCAUCGUCAUCUUGCUCCUCAUCUUCGUCAUCUGCGUAUGUCAUAGUCGAUGUCCAUGACCACUAUUGUGUCUCUCUCAUUGGGUGCUGCAACAUCCACAUUAUCAUCCAUAUCGACAAUUGCUAUUCUAAAGAAAUCCUAGUCAAGUACUGGGGUCCUUUGCGAUACCCACUCAUCGGCAAGGUCUUUUUGAAAGAUGUAAACAAGGUUGAUUGGAUUGUAAUAUGUGUGAGGGUCUUCCUUAGUUGCAUCUCUUUCAAUUUCAAGUUGUAGUGGAGUACAUAAGGUUGUACAGCGUCUGAGUCUUUAACAUAUUCCGCCUCGAGACAUGUAUCCAUUGGAAUGUAUUCCAGUUUUUCUUACAUUUCGAUGAAGUACAUGUUUGACUCAAAACUAUGAUUGAAAUCUUUUGUAAUUGCUUUGUUUGAAUUACGUGUACCGUCCACCAAUACGCUGACAUAGACAAACAUAAAAAUACUUAAUAACAGAAAAAAUUAAUUUUAAAAAAUCACAAAUAGUGUUGUACUAAACUAUUAUAGAUUAUAACUUAUAACUAACCUAGGAACAAUUUUGUAUCUGUUUUUUUGGCAUUGUUGUAUUCAAAUUGCUAUGUUUUUUCCAUGUACAUGAUAAGCUACAAAGAACGAUAUGCAUAUAAAAGAAAGUAGUACAACAUAGAAAUGCAAUUUGUAAUUUUGAAUUAAACUUUUGGACCCCGCCCUAACCCAUCUAUAUGAAUUAAAAAAUAAUAGAAAUUAUUUUAAAUAUGAUUUAAUAUAUAUAACAUAAAAAAAAUAUCACAGUACACCCUAAUUUGGUGUACCAUUUCCUAGGAGAUCCACUUAUUUGAAAACUAUCUUAAGGUAUUAGGUUUUCAAAAAGUUUAUCUUCUAACCCAACCCCAUUGGACUAUUUUUUUAUAUAUUAUCGUCCCAAACAUCUUAAAAAAUGAUGAUUUUUUUACUCUCUCUAUCCUUUCUUUUCCCUUUUCCCUCUCAAUCUUAUUGACUCUCUCUCUCCCCUACUCCCUCUCUCUCUCCACUCACUCCCAACCAUUCUCUCUCCUCUAACCAUCCUCUCUCUCUCACCUUUCUCCCCCGUACUCUCCCUCUCUCUCUCUCUAUCUUGUCUUUCUCCCCAAAACCGUCUUUCUCUCUCCCACAUCAGGCUUCGAGCUCUCUAAACUCGUUGCUAAAAAGUACCUAUUUAUUUGAUUGUGCAACUUCAAUUCUGGUAACCCACUGUUUUUGUCAGAUUAACCAAUUAGCAAGGGUAAUCCAUCGCCUUUGAUUCUACAACUUCAGUUUUGGUUAUCGGAGGGAAUGGGGACUCAAUGAUGCAAUGAAAUCAUUUGAGAGAAUCGUGGGAAAAUGGGGUUGAUGCCUCUGCUUAUGGCAUUAUGGUCACAGGACUUUGGGAAAAUAAGGACUCAUCAAAAGCUCUUUGUAUUUAUGGAGAAAUGAUUAAAUAGCAAAGUGCUUUUGAAUCGCCCAUCAUCGUUAAGGGGCUCAGUAAAAUUGGAUCAUUUCGGGAGCUAUAUAUGCUUUUGAAAAUCGGCAUUUGGCUUCAUUUUUGGGGUGGUUAUCUCUUGUUGAUCCGGAGGAUAUAUUUUUUGAAAACUAAAUAUAUGGGUCUACUAAAAAAUGAUACACCAAAUUGGGGUCUACUAAGAUAUUUUCCUUAUAAUAUAUUUUAUACUAGGUAGGGUCAACCUUGAUUGCUAUUGGAAUUCUAUGCUAGACUCGGACCCAAUUAGGAUAGAGUCCAAACAUUCAGACCCAAACCCAACCCACCAGGUGUUAGGAAUUGACCUAGACUAGACCCAGAUCCGAACAACCAGCAUACCCACCGAUCGACCCGACCCGAUUGCCAUCCUUAUAUGUCUCUCUUAUGGUGGUGGACAAAACCAAAGGGGGUGGUACGUGGUAGUGGGGUGGGAGUGUGGCAGCAUGUAAGGAGACUCCUGCCAUGUUUUAAGGUCACUUGCGGCAUUUGUUUAGAGCGAGCGAGAUAGGGGUGGGAAUUUGGUGGAGAGGUUAAGGGACUCGUGCCAUCUUUUAACUUUACUUGUGGCAUACGCAGAGAGAAAGUUUUGGCCGAGAAUCAAAGGAAACCACGUCAAUUUUCAAGGUCGGGUCACGAGUGGCAAUGGACCCGGAUUGAUUCGGGAACCGAGGCGUAGGUCAAUCAGAGUUUCAGUACAUAUCUACAAAUUGGACCUAGUACUAUUUUGGGUCAAGUGCGAUUGGGUUUGGUUAGGUCCAUUAACAUUUUUUGAGUCCCAACAUCUGAAACAUAUUCAAAGGGCAGCGAUUUCAUGCAAGGGUUGUAUCAUAAUAUAAUUCAACAACCUUUAAAAAUCAUGUUAUUUGUUUGAUUCAAAUUUUAAAAUAUAAAUUUUUUUUCAUUUUAAUGAACAAUCGUCAAAAAAUAAAAAUUUGAAAACAUAACCUAGAAAGUAUGUUUUUAGCACAGUUAACGUAGGUUGUCCAUUUCGAUAAGAUACUUAGAUCUAGACUUUAAAAUGAUUUUUUUUUCUUUUCCAAUUUUUUUAGAUGGCUUUAUUAUCAUUAGAUGAACCAUGAUAAAGAUGAAAAAAAUGAUUUUGAGUUUGUAAAGGUUAAGAUAUUGAAAUUCACCAAAUAAGCGAUCUAGAUUCGUUAUUGGGAGAGACUCAUUUUGACCAUAUCUAAGGGUUUAAAUUGAUUUUUUUUUUUUUGGGAUUGAUUAUUUAGAUGAAGAGAAUGUGUGUAGAAUUUUAUAUCGUACAAAUAACACAAACAUGGUUUUUUUACCAGUGUUGUUGUAUUACACAAUGAUACAACCGUUGCAGUAGAUCAUUACUUAUAUUUAAAUAUAGUAAAAUAUAUACAUUUUAAUUUUUGAGUUAGAUCUAAAUCCUACACUAUGUUUUAGGUUUAGGUCCGGUGAAUUCAGGUUUGGACCCAGACCUAGACCCGACCUUGCGAUAGAUCAUUACUUAUAUUUAAAUAUAGUAAAAUAUAUACAUUUUAAUUUUUGAGUUAGAUCUAAAUCCUACACUAUGUUUUAGGGUUUAGGUCCGGUGAAUUCAGGCUUGGACCCAGACCCAGACCCGACCUGACCAGUGGCUACUCCUUAGGUCAUGGGAUUUGCUGGAGAGAGAGACUUGCAUAGUUUUUUGAGGUCAUCUAGGCGAGGGAGAGAAUAAAUUCCCCAGUAGGGCUUUUACAAGGAGAGGGCAUAGGCGUGAAAUUUCAAAUUGUAGAGAGAGAGAGAGAGAGCGGAAGUCCUAAGCGUCCAAGAUUAAGGUUGAAUGUUAGAGAGAGAGAGAGAGGGAGAACCGUCCAACAUGUCAUUGAGGUUGAAUGUUAUAGAGAAAGAGAGGGCGAGGUGGACGUAUUCCACCGAAUUGCAAGGAGAGAGAGUAAAAGUUUAGAGAGAGAAAGCAAAAACUUCAAAAACGAAGAAGAGAAAAACACAGAAGAGAGAGCAGAGACUUCAGAGGUGUAGGUUAGAGAGAGAAGCAAAAAAAAUUCAAAAUCGAGGAGAGAGAAACACCUCCAGGGUAAAAACGUUCCAUUUUCAAAUUCUUGGGCGGUUCCCCAAAAUUUCAAAAAGCAAAAAAAAAAACUAUAUUUCCUAUUAACCUGUUAAAUCCAGAAGGGCGUAUUCGAAAUUCUAAGUCAAACAUACGACCAAAAUUUCACGUACAUUUUCCAGUGGCGACACAAUCGAACCAUCCUAAAACCGCGUCCAGUCAAGUGGGUCCACGCGAUGGACCCAAAAGUGGGCCCGAAAAUCGAGGGCGUGAAGGACCCAGGUCGAGCCACGGACGAGCCUACUGGGUCAAGUAGGCUCGAUAGUAUGAGCCCUGUGGGUCCGAGUCGUGGACCCCGGUGGUGGGCUCGCAUCGAGAUUCGAAACCGAAAGCGAGUGAAGGGUAGUUGUAAAACGGAACUGAGUGGGUUCCGCAGGUAUUGGGAUUUAAGUGAGGUUUUAACUAGGGGAAGAGUUUAUAACAUAGCCGAAGUUUUAAACAAUCAAAUUAGAGCCCCUCUCAAAAAUUUCAUUAGAAUAGAUAUUUUUUAUGUUUGAAUGUACUCAAAUUGAUCAUCUCGAUAUCAAGAUGCAUGAACAUGAGAAAAAAAAAAGAUUUUAAGUUAUAAAAAUAAUGUAUUUUAUAACACAUAUUUAGAUCAUCAAAUUUAAAGAUUUUAAAGUUUUUAUAAAUAUAUCGAUCUAUUUAUUUUUAAAAAUUUAAAUUUUAUAAAUAAAAUAAAAAUAUAUUUUAAAAAUAUUACAAAAAUUUCUAGUAUUAAAAUCACAUUUUCCGAUACUAUUUGAAGUAGGUUCUAAUUUUAUUGUUUAGAGCGUAAGCUCUAUACAAACUGCAUCCCUUUAACGAGUAGUCACGUUAAAAAAAAACAUCAUAUCUAUUUAUCUCUUUCUCUCUCUAGAAAAGCCAUCAUCUUUCACUGUCUAGAAACGAAUCAUCUCAUUCUCUCUCUAGAAAAGCCAUCAUCUUUCUCUCUCUAGAAAAGAAUCAUCUCUCUCUCACCUCGCUCGCUCAGUCUUCUCUUCAACCUUCGUUUGCUCUCUCUCUCUAGCUUCAUUCUCUGUUUACUUCUCUCUUUCUCUUACUCUUUCUCUCUCUAGCUUCAUUCCCUGUUUACUUCUCUUUUUCUCUUACUCUUUCUCUCUCUAGCUCUGUCUCCGACUCUUUUACCGCUAUCGCUUCACUCUCUCUCUGGUACUGAGAUUUAACAGCAGUCCGCUUUCUCCUCUCUCUCUCUAUAAAAGCCAUUUUCUUUCUCUCUCUUCCGCAGUCUCUUCGACCCUUUACUCUCUCUAUGACAUCAUUUUAUGUUCACUCUCUCUCUGCAUCUCUUACUCUUCUCUCUCUGGCUGACUCUCUCCCUUACAGCCAUCUCACUUUCUCUCUUACAGCCAUCUCACUUUCUCUCUCAUACCGAGAACACCAGCCGUCUCUCCUCUCUCUCUAGCUUUGUGUUCACUCUUGGCAAUCAGCUCUCUCAACAUUCUCUCUCCACUGAGCUCUCUCUCUUACCGAGAUAAACAACCAUCAUCACUCUCUCUAUUUCCUCAUUCUCUGUCUACACGCAAUAAUCUCUCUCUCUCUCUCUCUACUCUUGCAGAGCUUGCCUAUAUAGUACCGCCUGCACGUUUCUGGGGCUCCAGUUACAGGGAUGAUCAUUUCUGGUUAUCUUUGUGGCAUUUGAAGCCCCUUUGCUGGAGUAAUUGGCAAUAGUGCGAUUCUAGGGCUCAAUGCCUGGUUUUCUUCACCUGUAAGUUUGUGAUUGCUCUAUCCGUUCAUGCUUGGUGUUGUUCUGGAUUAUGUUUGUUUAAUCAUCAUAGUUUGUAGCUGCAGACUUAGGGAUUUAUAGCUAAAUCCUGUAUUUUUGUCUGUCUCGCGCUCAUUGAUCUUAAUAGAUUUGGGUAUUUAGCCAAUUUUCAUAUUUUUUGCUCAAUCAAUUUGGUCUGGGGACGAGUUAGGGUUACUAUGGUGGUUCUGCAAGUAACUUAUGUAAAUGGAUUUUUCAGGCAAUUGUUAUUCUUAUUUUGAUGGUUUAUUAUAUGUUUUUCGGUGUAAAGCAGUGUUUUUUUACAGCGUUGUCCCAUUAUUAGAGUAUUUUUCUGUAGCGUUUAACAUAAAUUUUAUUCAAAUUUUUGAGGUUCUUUAUCAAUGCAUUUGAUUGGUUAAUGAUGGGGUAUCUUGGUUUUUUUAUGAAAGUUAAGAUUGCCCAGUUUUAUUCUAAUUUUUUUGGGCUGAUUGAUUUCGUUUUGUUGAUUGGAAAGGCAUGAAUAAGGAAGUAGUUAAAUUUUCUUGAAAAAUUGGGGCAUUGGUGGGAUUCAGAGUCGCAUACUGUAUUACGAUCAUAGAACACUGAUUAUAUUUGAUAGAACACUGUUGUUUCUUAUCUUAUUCUCAUAAAAAAAAAAUUUAAUUGAUUUUUUUCAUUGAAGAGAUUUGAAUGAUGGUCUCGUUUCACAUUGUUCUUCAUUUAAUGUGGUUUUAUAAAUGGAGAAAUUGUUGGUUUAUGCAGUGUUUACUCUUUGUUACAUUUUCCUAAUAUUUAUGUAUUUUUAGUAACACAAUGCAUUACAGUUAGUCGCCGCCUAUUGAAGUGGAGUACUUAAUUUGUAAGGUAAUAGUACCUUACAUAAUAUUCCUCUCUUUUCUGUACUUUCUAAUAUUUGUUAAUUUCUAUUAGUGUAGCACACUGAAUUCAGUGGUUGUUGAUUGACGUGCGACUUAUUGUGACUUGAUGGUGAGAGUAAAGGCUGGCUUUCACGACGCAAUGCAAAAUGAUACAGUCAAAUCAGUAUCAGCUGAUGUGAAUUUUCUUUCAAAUCGUUUCCCAAACUAUAAAAUAGGGGCCAAUGAUAGCAUUGUUGAAUCAAAAGAAGGUUCAGAUGGGCCAUCUUUAAAGGAGAUAGUAGCUCAUGAAACUGCUCAGCUCCUUGAGCAACAAAAGCGACUCUCAGUCCGUGAUUUGGCUAGCAAGUUCGAGAAGGGGCUUGCAGCUGCAGCCAAGUUAUCUGAUGAGGUUUUUCCAUUUUAUUAAGCUUAUACUUGAUUGACUUCUGCUCCCUUUCGGAAAAUAUUUUAUUGAACUGAAAUCAAUUCAGAAGAAAAAAAAAUCCGCUGGUUUUUAUGUGAGUAAAUUAAAAUUUUCAAUAUCUAACUGAAGGAGCAAUUAACAAUGCUUGUUGGAUUUUCAGGCGAAAUUUAGAGAGACAGCUUCGCUCGAUAAACAGGUUCUCUUGAAGAAACUGCGAGAUGUAUUGGAAUCACUAAGAGGACGUGUGGCAGGUCGAAACAAGGAUGAUGUGGAAGAGGCCAUCUCUAUGGUUGGUUUUGUUUGCUAUAUCUUUCAUUUCAUUUGUCAGUGUUGUUGCCUUUUGCAUUCCUUUAUGUCUUUUCUCAGCUCACAUGAAUGUUACCGAUAACUCAUUUAUUUCCUCUUGCUUUCAAAAUGAGGAUAUGAGUAUCUCACGAGGAAGUAUAUGCACUCUGUGUGUAGGUUAAGCAGAAUCCAUUAUAUUAUAAUUCAUGCUUCAUGAAGUAUUGAAAUAGCUUUUUUACAGAUGCUGGCUUGUUUUACAGAUGCUGGCAGUGUUUUGAUGAGUGUUGAUGACAAACACAGUUUCCAGUCGUUUAUUGGAAAGUGAAUUAUCGAAAUUUCAGAUAAAAAACUUAUCAUAAUUAAAAAGUUCAGAAUUGUUAUAUUCAUUCUAUAGGAUAGUUGCAAAGAUUCUUGAGAAGAGCUAAGGCAUAGACAAAAUUUUCUAGAGGUUCAACUGAAGUGCUAGAUAAAGAUGGCAUUCUGAAUGAACUUUACUUCUGUUGAACUUUACUUCUGUUGAGUGUGAGGCAGAUUUGGUUCUUUGAAUGCAUUACAUUACUUGAUCUGUUAAGAGCUUAAGAUUAGAAGUGGUGAUUCCUUGGUUCUGUGGUUCUCGGGCUUUAUUAUAGAUAAUGUGUUAAUUGGCUUCCAGUAUUGCAGGCUGGAAUCUAGUUGUCAUUUAGCUUCUUUGCAUUCCUCGUAUUUCAUGGACCUUUAGGAAUGCCAUUGAAGUAUUUUUGGAGUCAUAUCUGGCACUGAAAAUUGUGAUAUAAUUUAUAAUCUAACUUGAGCUAUCUUUUUUGUUUUCUCUGUAUUUUCUUCACUAGGUACUUUGUGCUUUAUUGCAUCUAAUCAUCACAGCUUAUGUCCUUUUUAUGUAAUUGGAUUAUAUCUUAAGAUUGUUUCAAUAGAGACACUUCUUUACAGGUGGAAGCCCUUGCUGUCCAGUUGACUCAAAGGGAAGGAGAGUUACUUCAUGAAAAAUCAGAAGUUAAAAAGUUGGCAAGUUUUCUUAAGCAGGUAACAUGUCAAAUAGAUGCCUGGAUGCUGCUGGAAGAUAUAUAAAUACUGUAUCUACGCGUAAUUUGAUCUCUGCACUUGUCUAGAACCUUUAUUAAUUUAAUUAUAAUAAGAUUUAAUAUUACUUUUAUUUGUGAUUUUUUUUUAAAAUUUUUUUUUCCAUACUAAGAAGCAUUAUCUACUUUCUGACAGGCAUACUGUGCAGUUGACUGCUGGGUAUUUUUUUGUGUGAGGGUCCUCCAUGCACUAACAUUUGGUUUAUUUACUAUUACAUGUUACUCAAAAUUGAUUGAGCUGACAGUUAUUUCUUUCAAAAAGAGUGAGCUGACACUUGCAAACUUCCCAACGAAUGAGUCAUGUGGAGCAUAGAACAAAAAUCAUGUGUAGCACCCAGUUAUUGGGAAUUAUUUCAUCGAAAGUAAUAUUUUAAAAGGGUCGCCUGUAUUUGUUAGGUAAAACAAUAGAUCUAUCCGUAGAGUUGGUGGUGCCCUUGGGCCUACCAAAUUGAAGAUCUAAGGGCAUUGCAUCUCCAAGUACGCCCAGUUUGGCAGUUUCUGAAUGUUUUCUUCAAUCAAAGUUUAAAUGAUUCAGGACCUUUCUUAAUAUUUUCUCACUUUUUUUUUCCUUUUGUUAUAAGUAGUCCUUGUGGAAAUCCACUGCAUAGCAUAUUGAUUUGUCCAGUCAAUUAUUAAAGCUUAGUUUGCAAAACUUGGCUCCAGGCCCUACAAUAACAGUGUAUUGGAGUAGUAUAUGAAGACGAUACGGGUACCACUAUCAAGAAAGUUAAACAAUACUCAGUCCUGACAGUGGGAAGCAAAUGAACAAUAUGGUCAACAUGGUACCAAAAUAAAAAAAGAAGCCAAAGAUGAGGAAAAAGCCGUGAAAUGGAUAUCCUUUGAAGAAAUAUUUGCAAAGGAAUGAGUAGCAGAAAUGGCAACAAAACAUGAAUGGAGGAAUUGAGGGCAGAAUUGCCUGCGAUAAAUAAAAUGUAAAUCAGUAUUACGUCAUUAAAUUCUUUAAUUUAGAGUACUGAGUCAGGAUUCAUGACAGGAAUUCUUGUAUUCAUGCUCACAGCUGGAUUAUGAACCAAUAGAUUUUAUAAUCUCUUGCCUAAUGUAAACACUUGUUAAUAUUUUAUUACGAUAGGCAGGGUUCCCAUCCAAAUCUCCAUUAGCCUAGCUAAAAAGAAGAGUUACUUCUACAUAUAAUAACGUAUUCCUCUUUUAAUAUUUUCUGUGUUGACUUUUAAGUCUUCCUGAGUUGUUCAUUUUGGUUCUCUAUUAAUGUGAAUUCCUUGUAGUUUGAGUGUAAUCAAGCUUGGAUUUUUGAAUGUGUACUUAAAAUCAUUUAAUGCUUCUCCUUAUGCAUACAGGCUUCUGAGGAUGCCAAGCGAAUGGUUGAAGAAGCAAGAGCUUUUGCACAAGCUGAAAUUGAGAAGGCUAGAGCAUCAGUCCAGAUAGUUGAGCAGGCCUUUGAAGAACAAGAAAACAUUUCCAGAUCUUCUGACAAGCAAGUGAGUUAUUUUGUUUGAAGUUUGCUUGAUUUUUUUGUCCCUGUUUUAUUUUCUUCUCUAAGAACGAAGUUUCUGAAAAUUUAUGUUUUUUUUUUUUGGCUUUCUUUUUAGCAUCCAUGAAUGAUUUAGUAAUGGCACAAUUCAGGUAUUUGAACUUAUACCCUAUUGUCUGUCUUACUCUCCAUGUCCAAAAGUUCUGUGCUUCACUCGCAAUUUCUGCUUCCUCUCACCCUUCGAUGAUUUUAUGAGUUUGUUAUACUUCCAUCUUUUCUUGCUUUGCUGCUUCUAUCCUCAUAUGCUCCUGUAAUUUCAAUCCCCAAAGUGCUAAGAAGGGUUCUGAGUUUCUAUUUGAAGUAAUACAACUUCUGAUUCUUGAAUAAUGUAACUUUCUUGCAUCUGUUUCCAUUUUAUUUUCAUAGCUCCCACAAUCUUUCUCUAUCUCUUUGCUGCCUCUAUCUCUGAGAUUGAACUAUCCCUCCCCACUGAGAGGCUUUGCUUCAUGAAGUUCCGUGUUCAUUCCCCACUGAGAGGCUUUGCUUCAUGAAGUUCCGUGUUCAUUCUCUUAUCCUGGUUAUCCCUCCUUUUUGAUUCCUCCCCGUGAAAGCUGCUAUAUCAAUGUUUACAAUGAAUCAAAUGAAUAUUUCAUAGUAUAUUUUUUGUAUCAUGUUAGUUUUUUAAGAAUAUAAUUUUGUCCUCUUUGACUAAGUAGGAACUGUGACAGUUUUUAUAUGUAUCCAUUUUAAAUGUGUAGACUGUUUUUCUGUCAAUUAUAAUGGAUAUUUAUUCUGUUUAUGGUGGUAUUGUUGUCAACACUGUUAGGAUUUGGAUGAGUUAAUGAAGGAAGUUCAAGAAGCUAGAAGAAUAAAGAUGUUGCAUCAACCUAGUAAGGUAUGCUAGAGACUUUGACAUUCUUUGUAAUUAUUGGAAAGAUAGUAACGUUUUUGUUUGAAAUUUUUUGUUUGGAAGUAACCAUAAUAACACCGUUUAGAAACUGCCUCUUUGUAUACAAAUUUCUUGUUAACCAUAUUUAUGAAGUUGAAUGAUCCAUUAUUCUAGUGUCAUUUGAUGAAGUUAAUUGUUAUUUCCGAGCCGCUUGAUGUUUCUCAUUCUAAUCUAGAAGCUUAUUUUCUAAGCAAUAAUGAGUAAAGGUGAAAAGGAAUGCAAAUUCUAGAGGUCUACUCCAAGCAUAAACGAGUUACGAGUCAAUGACCCAAGAAUCUCUAGCUAAACAUGAAGCAUGCUCUGACCAUCUUCGGCUAUGUACUUGAUUUUUUUGUCAAAUUUGCCACGCUGUUGCUUUAGGGCCUGUUUGGAGGACAAUUUUAUCUGGAAUAUAUUAUCUUAUUUGAGAUUAAUAAACUCUAGAUAAUGUUAUUUUGUUAGAUAUUUGGUACGCAUCUUGUAUUAUGUAUAAUAGCAUUUAAACAUUUAACGUUUCAGUGAUUCUAGCUAUUUUUAGCUAUGUUGGUAAAAAAAUUUGAUGUUCAGCAAAUUACCUUGAAUAAAGUAAAAACACUUUUAAAAAAGAUAAAAAUUAUAUGUCAAACUGCCUAUAAGUUUAUCUCAGAUAACUUCAUGGUGGACACAGCCAAACAAUAAAUAAUUUGUUAUCGGGAUUAACUUUAUUGAAACGGUGAAUUAUCAAGGAUAACUAGUACAUCUAAACAGGCCCUUAAUAUACAACAAAUGUAUUGAAUGACGCAUUUCGCAACAAAAGUUUUUUCCAAGGAUAUUCUCUGUUGUCAGUCAGCUAUGAAAACAACAUUGUGCACUAUAUAUAUGUGUUUGAUAACAUUCGAGUAUUUCUCGGUAAUCAAGUGGACUGAGUAAUAGGAUGAAUAUAGAGGAUGUCUCAACUGCUCCAAAUUAUUUACAAAGUUGAUUUGUUGGUGAUGUAGUGGGCUGCCAUAACUCAAAUUGAUAAUUGGGGAAGUCUGUAUGUGCUCUAUUUGUUGGCAGGUCUGAAGUUCUAUAUUGUUUUUCCAAGAUAUGAUCUUUCUAUAUCUUUGACUUUUCUUUUCGGAUUUUAAAUGUUUAAUACUUGUUGCUUGCAGUUUACUAGUUCGGCAUGAAGGAACUUAUAAUUUAGUCUUACUGGCUACAUUUUGUCACUGUUAAUUAGUUUGUUUUCCUACCCCUAUUUUCAUAUUGGGCAAACUUCAAAUAAAUUCUAUUUCCAUUGCAAUCAGGUUAUGGAUAUGGAGCACGAACUUCAAGCCUUAAGGAUUCAACUUGCCGAAAAGUCCAAAUACUCGCUCCAGCUUCGGAAAGAGGUUGCAUUUAUAUAUGAAAUUUUGAGAUUGCUGAUAAAACAUUACCUAGUAGUGUUGUUCGCCUAUUUUUUGGUUGGUCCAUGACUAGCUUGACAAUUACCUCACUUUUGACUGUGGGAUUUUCCACUUUUCUGCUUUGCAUUCGUCUAUAUAAUGAAUUUAAUAUGCUAGUAGAUGGCUCAUGGCGAUCUUUCUUGUUUCAUGCCUUAGUUUAACAAAUUUUUGUCGCUUUGAUUACACAAUUGUUUAUGUUGUUAUGAUUGAACAAAAGACUAUGUGUCUUCAUAACACGCUUGCUCUGCUACUUGUGGUAAAUUCUCUUAUUGUAGACGUUUGUAAUUCAUGGAAGAUGGCCUUAGUGAAUGGAUUUCUUAGAUUCACCUUAUAACAUUAUUAAGUUAUGCACAACUUUAUGGCUGCUCAUUGAUUCAAGAAGUGUAAAUAAAUGAUCUUAAUAUCAAAGUUGGAGUUCUAAUAUUAGGUUGAAACUCUUGCCAGGGAAGUCUGUAAGGAGACCUGUUAGGUUGGUUUCUUAAAACUUUUAUUCUCAUUGACAUAUUUAUUCCUCCUGUGAAUUUUGAGAAGAGUAGAAUGUCAUAUAUAAAGUAUCACAUAGAGAGUCAUGAACUCUUAAGUAGAUAAUACUUGUAGUAGCGGGAAGGAUGUAUUGAGUUUUUUUUUUUUUUGUUGAGUUUUUAUUCUGAGCUUUUGAGAGUUAUUUUCAGUUUCCCACCCAUUUUGAUGGAGGUUUGGGAUGUUAAUGUACAAAACUGGGGUGCUAAAAUUAAUUGUAUUUUUACAUAUUGAUUUUGCUAAAUUUAUUUAUUUUAAUAAAAGUCAUUAUCUAGUAUGUUUAGAAACUCCUGUCGAAUCUUUCAAUAAGUAUACUUGUGAAGAAAUAGGGACCUCUAUCUGCAUUCUCCAUGAGUUUGCAUUAAACAAACUACAUAAAUGACAUCUUCUGAAAUUAUUAUUAUUUUUUGUUAGAAUUCAUAUUCUAUAUGCUUGAUUCUUUUUCGAGUUUCACUAACCACUUAGUUCAUUUAGCAUUUUCUUAUCUUUAUUUUUUUUAGAAAUUUCUCGUCUUUCUGAAAACUGAAUAAACUUGAGCUUUUUUGCUUUUCCAGUUGGUAAUGAGCAAACGGCUCGAGGAAGGUGACUCCAAACUGUGUGAAUUGGAUGGUGAUGAAUCUUUAGGUUCCUAUUUGCGGAUAGUUCCUAAUGUGAAUACUACUCUAGACAUCUCUAGAUGUACCAUUCAGUGGUUCCGUAUAUCAGCUGAAAGAAGUAAAAGGGAAAGGAUAUCAGGUAAUUGAUUUUGAUUUCCAAUCAACAAUUAUCUUCUGUAUUUUGGUUUCUACAUUAAUGGGGUUUAUGCAUCUAACUAGUGGAAUAUUUGGGGGGUUCUUCUAGGAGUGGGUUUGAUCUGAUAUGCGUUUCUAUUCUUUGACUAUAAACAUGCUUACUUACAAGUUGAGUUUUUGAGCAUUUCUCUUGUGCGCACGCAUGAGCAGUUUAAUAACAAAGCUUUUCGCCCCUCCUCUACUUCGCCUGUCGACUCCUGAAAGCUUUGUUCUUAUGCAGUGCGGCUAGAACCCCUCCCUCUGUUUCUCCUUUUUUUUCUGAGCGAUAUAACACAUCCCUCCCUCUGUUUCUUCUUUCUUGUGCUUCUGGUUCUUAUGCUCCUUCGACCUUCAUAUAUCUUCUUUUGUUUCCUCGUAUGUCUCUCUGGAGUACCAUUUGUGCCUCCUCAAAGUAUCUAUCCUUGCCUGUCUCUACCAUAAAGUUGUCCUGCUCUGAAGCAAUUAUCAUCUCCACUCUGUAAAGAGAGAUGUAGGUCCAAAAUGACAUGGUUGGAAGUUGUGAGAAAAGAUGUGGGGACUUAUGGCCUCACUGAGGUUAUGAUCCUUGAUAGAGCAGAAUGGCAGACCAAGAUUCGUAUAGCCGACCUCAAAUAGUUGGGAAAAGACUCUGAUGAUGAUGACUCUAUAAAUAGAGAGUGAUAUUCAUAUUCUUCAACACAAUUUGGUGUUGUCCUCUUGUUCUCUCUUCUCACCUUCUCCUCUAGAGCAACAUUGACCCUGAUAGAACACCUUUUCAAGGCUAACAAGUUGAAUCUGGGAUAGAUUCAUGAGAGUACAACCAGCUAUAAAUUUCUACUAUUUACUGAGCUCUAGGGAGAGUACCAGGACGUUGAUGCUGUCAGGAACUGACCAAUGCUGGGUUCCUUUUGUUUGGCUGUAAUGUGGACAGGACAUGGACAAAUGGUUCCAAAUCCUAAAGCCAUUAAGAAGGGAUCUUCUGCUGAUGUUGAAUGUGUCCAAGUAAAAGAACUUGCACAUAAGAAAGUCACCUGAUGCCAACCUCAAUACGCACCAAGUUUAUUCAUGAAUUUAAUAUGUGGUAGUUAAAUUGAAAAUUCAAAGUCUGGUUAUAGAAACAAAAUUCUAAACUGGUGUUAAACUUUUGCAAUAUUCUAAAGUCGAUAUGUUUUUUUGUAAUUUAUUUUCCUUUUUUGCUGGACUAUUAUGACUUUCUUUUUCAUGAAUAGACCAUUCUAUAGCUACAUUGGCUAUGUUGCCUACACAUUUGACAUGGACUAUUGUGUCUGGUACUUGUUGAAAGCAGCAUUUUAAAAAUCUAGGCUCGGGUUCUGAUUCACAAGGGUCUCAAGCCCGAGUCAGACUCUAUCGAGUUGGACUGGCUGACUCGUCUGGGUUUCUAUAAAAAUGAUUAUAAGACCCAGGUAAAACUUGCCUUUCUUUUUUGCAAUAGUCAUUUGGACCUAGCACUUGGCAUCCUGCCAGGUCCAAAUGACUUGUGCUGAGUGCAAGCCCGAGUUGGCGAACUUUUAUGUCUGGUUGAAAGUGUCUAGUACUUCAGCAGACAUGUGCAUGUGAGUUUUAUUUUUAAUUUAUUAAAAAUAAGGGAAAUUUAUCAAAUUAAUGAUAAAGGAUUAGCAAUUUAAUACCUUGCCUAUGUCCUUUGAUUUAAUUUCAAAAUUCCAUAAAAACACGCAUGGUUUGGAGUUGGAAUUGUUGCAAAUUGGUAAAAUGUCGCAUACUUUUUAUCUCUUAUGGGUAUUUUCAAAAAUUUCCCAGAAAAUAAAAAUGGGUUCAAACCCCAUCCUUGUGCUCUAUAUAAUUGUUUUAUGUCCCCAUGUCGUGAAGUGUCGAUAUGUGUCGACACGUGAUGUGGCUUUAAAAAUGAGGUGUCUAGGUAGUAUGGUAUGAUGGUACUUGGGAAGUUAUAAAGUGAUAUAUUUAGGGUUUAAACUUGGGUGAAAAUAUUUAGGAGACCUGUGAAGAUGGGUGAGUUCUUCAAUGGUGGGGCCCAUAUAUCUUGUGUUGAUGUUUUUGAUUUGCAUGGUGCCAAGUUAUUACAUUGAACUUUGGGAGUAGAUGUUUCAAAGAUUGUUUUAUUUCUGACCUUAUGCUUUUUGAAUAUAGGGUGAUUAUGCCUACCUUGUCUUGUCUCAAUCUUUUUGCUAAUUUAUAUCCUUACAUUUGAUUCCCAGGUGCCACAAAAUCAGUGUACGCUCCAGAACCUUUUGAUGUUGGUCGAUAUUUACAAGCCGAAAUCGUUGCAGAUGGUGAAAAGUUAUUAGUGACAACUACUGGUCCUAUAGAACCUGGUUUCCUUCUAACCUAUUUUUCUUAUUUUUCUUUCUUUUUUUUUUCCUUGUGGAUCAAUCCAUAUUUCAAGUGGGAAGAUGUGAUUAUUUUUUAAUUUAUGGUUUUAGAAUGUGCUGUAAUUUAUUAUCAAAUGCCGAUUUUAACCACAAUUACCAUGUGGUAUUUUGUUUUCUGGACUUCGAUUGUUUUAAACCUUGCUGCUAGUGUGACAUUCCUGCUCUACAAAUAUGACUCUGUGACUCUUUUAUCUUCCCAUUUAAAAUCACAUGAUGCAGUUCUGAGCAUUUGAGCUUUGGGGAAGGUAAUUCCUAAUUACAUUUGCAUUCUUAGCUCCUAAACUAUCCAACAUAACUUAAAGGCAUUCUUUUUAUGUUUUAUUUGGAUUAACUAAACUUUAUUAUAUUGUUUUCCUGCUCUACAAAUAUGUUUAUGUGACUCUUUUGUCUUUCUAGUUUAAUAUCACAUGAUGUAGUUCGGAGUAUUCAAGUUUUGGGCGAGGUAAUUCCUAAUUAAAUUUAAUAAGAUGAGGAAAAGUAGAAUUAGGUGGGCCGGCCAUGUACAAUGUAGGCCUAAUACAGCGUCGGUUAGGAGGUUCGAUUUGGUUCAAGUAGGAGGCUCUAAAAGGGCAAGGGGAAGGCCCAAUGGGACAUGGAUAGAAGUAGUGCGAAAAAAUAUAAUGACUUGUGGUCUUACUGAGGGUAUAUCCCUUGAUAGAAAAGAAUGGAGGAACAUGAUUCGUGUAGCUGACCCCAAUUCAUUGGGAUAAGACUUGGAUGAUGAUGAUGCUGAUGAUGAUGUUAUUCCUAAUUAAAUUUACAUUUUUAACUCCUAAACUAUCCAACAUAACAAGUGUAAUUUUUAUAUAUUUUUUGGAUUGGACUAAAUUGUAUUCCAUUGGUAAGUAUGAAGUAAAUGUAAAGCUUUAAAGUAUUUCCUAUUAAAAUGUAUCAUAUUUGUGGGGUUCAGGCUCUUGGCUUGAUGGUCAGGGCCUCUGAGCACUGCAGCAAAAUGCCCUUGGUCUGACAAUUACCUAACCUAGCCCCCACAAGGGAGGGAGGGAGGUAUAGAAUUCUCAAGAACCAGGAUCUUUAAGUUAAAUUACAAUUGCAAAAUGAUGUAGCUUAGUAAACUGUAUAAUAGAGCCUAGUUUGUAAAACCAGCAGGAUCUUAAAAAUUAAAUGACAAUUGCAAAAUGAUCUAAGACACCUUAAACUUUAUGAUAGAGCCUAGUUUACAAACCCAAUAUGGUCUUGAAAGUCAAAUGAGGCCUAGAAGUCGUUGUUUCUGAUUCAGUUGGUUCAGCUGGUUCAGGUCAUGGAACGACAUUACCCGAGGGGCUCAUUUAUUUGGGUUUAAGUUUUUGGGUACGCAAACAAUGUGAUAUAUCGUGCAUAACUGUCUGUACUUGAUAUGAUUAUGCUUUUUAUUUGUUUUCUUCCUGUUAAAUUUCUCCAUGCUAUAUCUUCACGUAAACUUGUUACUAGUAUGUGUCAGUGGCCUUUGCUGCAUGGUAGAGUACCAAAUGUCUUUUUUCUCUAAAGUGACAAACUGUGUCCAUGUCAGUUAAGUCAUCAUUUCUUAUUGACUUUUAUUGGAUUACCUUUUUAUUAAGUAAAGAAUAUAUGAAAAUAAAAUAUGCACGUACUGAUUUUUACACAAUUUCUUUACAGCCCCAGGCUUGGGAAACUAUGUGGAGGCACUUGUUAGAAAACCCGACACUGAAUUCAAUGUACGAUCAGUUUCAUUGGGCUUCUUUACUGCAAAAAGCUGAUAUUCAUUGAGCGUUGUUAAUGCCUUCAAAUAUUCUAUUAUUGUUUUGGCAAAUUAUUUGGAGCACCAUGAAAAUCACAAUUGUAAAUAAUUUAAGGGAAACUUAUCAAAAUACCCAUGAGAGAUAAGGUAUUUAACAUACUGCCUAUUUGUAACCAUUCCAAGCUAAGACUCUGUACUUUUGUGGGUAUUUUGAAAUUAAAUCAAAAGAUAUGGGUAAGGAGUUAAAUUACUCAUCUCUUAUUGACAAAUUGCCCUAAUUUUAAUCAUCCUAUGGUUUUGAUAUGGCAGUCUACAGGCAGAAUUGGAACAACAAAAUUAUUAACUUGUAUUGGUUGGUUAAUAUUAUUCACCUUUCUUUUAAUUGGAUAAUGUUUUUUUCAUUGCCUAGGUCAACAUGAGUUUUUUUUUUUUUUUUUUCAGGACGUGAUACUCGUAUAAAAUUUCUCUUAAAUCCAAGCACAUGUUUUCACUUAAUUUUCCUAUGUGGUUCUAUGUACUUUUUGCUUUGGUUUGCAGGUCGUUCUUCAGAUGAAUGGAGUGGAUCAUCCAUCUCACUCUCUUCAUGUGUUUCAUGUGGGAAAGAUGAGGAUCAAACUUCGCAAGGGAAGGAUAACAAAGGCAAAAGAGCCUUACUCCUCGUCAAUGCAGGUUGCUUUCUUUCUUUCUUUUAAAUCUUGUAUGGGAAUCAGAUAUUGAACUCUGAUAAUUGCAAAAUUUUGUAAUUGGGCAAACGGAAAUCAUACCAGCUGCAAUUGCAACACUCAAUCACUUGGAUUAUGUUAGGAUUUCUAUGUGUUGGAACCCACAACGGCAAAGAGAUCUUUGAUCUCAAUGAAUAUUUGUGACCAAUUUAUUUUCAUAGAUUUAUGUGAUGUGCGUGUAUUGUUGAACUACACAGAUUGGUGCUUAUGCUCAAAAUAUAUAAGAUAGGGUCAUAAGGGUAACAUUAUGUGUAUGUAAUGAGGGCGGUAUCUAAAAGAUAUACUAGGUCCAAUACAGUACAGGAAAACUAGUGAGAUCCACAAGGACAGGAGAUAACCUGUUGGUAUUUUCAACUGUCCAUUCUUCCUUUCUGCUCUCCAUCACUGUCCAUAAUUUCCAAUGGCCAUUUCCCUCUCUGUUCACGCGCCACCCUGCCAGAUGUUUGGAGAUUAACAUGUGAGGUAAAUCUCCCUCUGGGCCCUACCCAGUUAAUCUGCAACCAUCCAACAGAGGGAACUGAUCGUGGAUUUAGACUAAGAUUGCUUUGUACCUUAGUCUAAUACAAUUUACUUUUAAUCUCUUGUAUGGAGUUUUUUUUAUCACCAAGUAUUGCUUUGAGUCAUUGAAAUUGAAUGGCUUUCUUUUUAUGGAGUUCUUUUGAAUUGGGAGAUACGUACAUGUAUUAUCAUGUCAUAUGAUGGCUGCAAAUGUCUAAUAAGUUGUGCUGUGGUUUGUGAAAUUGUCUUUUAGUUAUGUCUUUUAUCUAAUGCCACAAAUGCAUGUAAAAUUCACCGAGUUCUGUUAUAUAUUCCUGUUUCUGUUAUUAUUUGUGAAAUUUACGCAUGUUGUGCACCAGUAUGGAUAUGCAGCUCAUAAAUGCCUGUUCUGUGCUCAGUAGCUUAAAUAUUUGUAUACGAUCUAUUCUCUCUUUCUCUCUCUCUCUCUCUCUCUCGCUCUCUCUCUCUCUAUCUAUUUUAUAAUGGCUCCAUUGAUUACAUCUCCCUCUAUCGCUGGUUUUGAUAUGCUUGCUGUUGUAUUUGUUAGUAUUGAUUAGGAGUUUAGGACAAGGAAAACACAUUCAUUUAACCCACCCUUCAUUUGGCUUGUGAAAAAUUGCAGUUGUGUGGGUUGAGAGGUGGUGGAAAUGCUGCUGCUCAAGCGUUGUUUUGGCAACCAAAGAAAGGAGUAUCUUUUACAUUGGCAUUCGAAUCAGAGAGAGAACGAAAUGCAGCCAUCAUGCUUGCCAGGAGAUUUGCCUUUGAUUGUAAUGUAAUACCUUCAUGUCUUUUCAGAAAUUCUCUCAAGAAAGUAUUCCAUGGUCCAAUGGACUAUGGUCUAUGUAUAUACUUAAGCUACAUGAACCAUUUCUUUGUGCUGACCGAUGGCUAGAGAUUAACAGGAUCCAAGUGAAUCCCUCUUGGUAACCCAUCUAGUUAAUCCACAACCAUUGGUCAGUGGGAGUGGUGGGUGGUUACAGCCUCAGAGGACAUGUGCCAUAGUCCGUUUGACUAUGGCAUACUUUCCCUUUUCUCUUUGAUUUUUUUAUUUUUAUUUUAUUUUAUUUUUCUAAUCUUUUUCCUUUUCAAAGUAUAUGACAGUAUAUUUUCUCCAAUGUUUUAAAACUUGGCUUGGGCCCCGGAUUGGUUCCUAGCCCUAGCCGAGUUACUCAUGCGAGUAUGAAUAGACUUGCCCGAGUAGGGCGCAUUCCUAAAAAGGCUAUAAAUUUGAAAACAAAUUUUUAGAAAUAAAAAAUAGUAAAAACCAAAGUAAACCAUAAAGAGCACCAGAAGUCUAAAAAUAAUGAAAAAUUAUAAAAGAUGGAAUUUGGAAAGAAAAAAAAAAUUGUAGCUGGAAAUAAUUCAGGAAAAUUCAAGAAAAGGGGAAAAAUACCAAAUAAAGCAAAUGGUAAAUAAAAGUUUGUAAAUCAUCGUUAAAAUCAUUAAAAUUAUGCAGUAACAUGUCCACACAUUGGUUUAUUGAGUCGAGUCGGAGUCCAAGUUACUCGGUUGAGUUCUUGAACAGCGAUUUUUUCUUUGUAGUCAUAAUGGAUAUGGAUAAGUUCACAUAUACCACAACAAAAUUGUCAUAUCCUGAAAAAUGACCAUCCAUUUUGGUUUGGCCAGUAGGCAUAAUUAUAAAUCAUUGUUUUAAAAUUUAGAGGGGAAAAAAAAUGUAGAACGUAGCAGACCUGUCAAAUACAAAUUUUACUCAUCUUCUUAUAUAUAAAAACAAGUUUUCUUCAAAAUAAUCAAUGAAACAAAGAAAGAAAGAAAUAAAUAAAUAAAUAAAAUUGUAUUUACAUUUUAAGGAAAGACUGCAAACUAAGAAAUGGUAGAGAUUUUCAUUAUUAGCCUUCUGUAAUCUUCCCUUCCCUCUUUGAUGAAAAAACAAAAUCAAAUUGGGCAAUUGAGGAACUGGUAAAUUUGACUGAUUUAGAGAUUAAAUACUCUUUUUUUAUUUUCUGUUUUGUUUGCAGAUCAUGCUUGCCGGACCAGAUGACCGAGCUCCCCUCGGAACAUAACUAACAUGCAUAAUUACCAUGUCUUAUUGUAAUGUUGUAAGUAAUAUUAAUGUCAUAUUUGUUUCUCUUCUUUUUGCUUGUAGCUUGGUGUUUAACUGUAAGAAAGAGAAUGGGAGUUUGUUGUGUAAUUAGAGGGCUUGCCUCUUGAAAUCAAGGCAUCCUUUUUAUUUGCCUUUGUAUGUGGUAUUAGGGGAAGUUGAUUAGAGUAGGCAUUGGUAAAAUGGUUGAUUUUUACCAUGUUUCUAGUGUUUCAAUUGACUGGCCUAAGGUGGCUCUUUGUAUUUAAGGAUAUAUGUAAGAAAUAUUAAUGUUAUGGUGUUAUUGUCUUCUUGUUUGCAGUAGUAAUAAUGCAUUGCAUUGUGGAAGAAUACGCUCACAAUUGUUGGUUUGUCAUUGUUUUUCACUCCUUGAAACAGAAUUGAGGGUCACAAGUUGGGGGGAGAGAGAGAGAGACAGCACAAUUGUUGGUUUGUCAUUGUUUUUCACUCUUUAAAAUACAGAGAGAGAGAGAGAGAGAGAGCGGUUGUUGGUAUGUCAUUGCUUUUCACCCCUUAACAGAAAUUGUCAUAAGCUGAUGGAAGAAAAAGAGAGAGAGAGCAAACAAAUUGUUGAUGUGAUGAAUUGUCACAGGAGAGAGAGAGAGAGAGAGAGAGAGAGAGAGAGAGAGAGAGAGAGAGNNNNNNNNNNNNNNNNNNNNNNNNNNNNNNNNNNNNNNNNNNNNNNNNNNNNNNNNNNNNNNNNNNNNNNNNNNNNNNNNNNNNNNNNNNNNNNNNNNNNNNNNNNNNNNNNNNNNNNNNNNNNNNNNNNNNNNNNNNNNNNNNNNNNNNNNNNNNNNNNNNNNNNNNNNNNNNNNNNNNNNNNNNNNNNNNNNNNNNNNNNNNNNNNNNNNNNNNNNNNNNNNNNNNNNNNNNNNNNNNNNNNNNNNNNNNNNNNNNNNNNNNNNNNNNNNNNNNNNNNNNNNNNNNNNNNNNNNNNNNNNNNNNNNNNNNNNNNNNNNNNNNNNNNNNNNNNNNNNNNNNNNNNNNNNNNNNNNNNNNNNNNNNNNNNNNNNNNNNNNNNNNNNNNNNNNNNNNNNNNNNNNNNNNNNNNNNNNNNNNNNNNNNNNNNNNNNNNNNNNNNNNNNNNNNNNNNNNNNNNNNNNNNNNNNNNNNNNNNNNNNNNNNNNNNNNNNNNNNNNNNNNNNNNNNNNNNNNNNNNNNNNNNNNNNNNNNNNNNNNNNNNNNNNNNNNNNNNNNNNNNNNNNNNNNNNNNNNNNNNNNNNNNNNNNNNNNNNNNNNNNNNNNNNNNNNNNNNNNNNNNNNNNNNNNNNNNNNNNNNNNNNNNNNNNNNNNNNNNNNNNNNNNNNNNNNNNNNNNNNNNNNNNNNNNNNNNNNNNNNNNNNNNNNNNNNNNNNNNNNNNNNNNNNNNNNNNNNNNNNNNNNNNNNNNNNNNNNNNNNNNNNNNNNNNNNNNNNNNNNNNNNNNNNNNNNNNNNNNNNNNNNNNNNNNNNNNNNNNNNNNNNNNNNNNNNNNNNNNNNNNNNNNNNNNNNNNNNNNNNNGGGGGCGGGCGUAGAGAGAGAAAGAGCUGGAAAUGUAUGCUAUUAUUGGGCGACUUCAAAGUUGUUUGAUUCUUAUAUCCUUAUCAUACGAGAUGCAUGUCGAGGCUGAUGCCUAAUCUAAUUAUCCAAUUAUGGGAAAGUUAUCAUUUGCAGGAUGACUAAGUUCUUUUGGGAAUAAGACCCACCAACACUUUUAGAAAACUAUUAACGUUGUCUAAGUCAACCAAUUUAUCAACAAAGUCGUAUGAUGAUUUUGUUAGAGUGGUUUUUCAAUGAGUGUUAUUAAGGAUGCCUAUAAUACGUUUUGGAAUCUUGAACAAGCAAUGUAGUUAUGGGUCAAGUUUUCAAAAUACCCUAAAUUUUUUUAGGUUAAAUUAGAAAUGGGUGGGGGCAGUUUUUAUCAUUUGAUUUGGCCAAUUGGGUCACUUGAGUCGAAUGUCGUUUUUAAAAUACCCUAAUUUUUUUUAGCUUAAAGUAGGAAUGGGUGGGGGCAGUUUUUGUCGUUUGAGUUCGCUAAUUGGGCCACUUGAGUCAAAUGUCAUAAAUAUACUUAAUUUUGAACUUAAAACCUAAAAUGAUCUAGUAAUUAUUGAUCAAAUUCAUUUUUGGUGGCAAUGGACCCAGACCCGACCUAAGACCUACCGGGUAUACCCGAUUGGAUCCGGGUAUGGGUCCAACAUUUGGACCCGGCAGGUCGGGUUCGGGUCCAAAACCUAGACUUAAACACUAUUCUGGGUCUGGGUCUGAUUAGACUCGACCUCUACUCGUAAACUGUUGGCGAUAAAAUACUUCAAGCCCUAUUCAUUUGGGUGUAUUAAGGAUCGUAUACAAUAAAAACUCAGAAUCAUAUUUAGCUAUUAAAUGACAAAUAAGACGCUUGAAAUCUAAUGAUAGGUGAUUGUAGCCAUUUGUCAAUAAUUUGGGUAUAUGAUGGUAAAGUAAAAGAAAAAAAAGAAGAAGCUCAUAAUGAGCGUGGCAAUGGACCCACCUAGACCCAAGACCCAACGGGAUUGACUCAAGACCCAACGGGAUUAACAUUGGACCCGGCGGGUAUCGAUAUGGGUCCAACUUUUGGACCUGAUGGAUCGGGUCCAGGUCCAAAACUUGGAUCCAAAUACAUUCGGAUCUGGGUUUAGGUCCAGCUGGACCUGACUCAUACCCGAAACCCAACAAGCAAUAAUGUUAUAUCACUUAGGCUUACCCCUGGGGCUAAAUAGCCGGCCCUACUACUUCAAGAUUCUAAUUCUAAAACAAUGACAUUUUGGGUUCUUAAUAACAAAAAUAGUUGAGGUAUUACGAUAAAACAAUCGUUUCCAAGUAACCACUUUAUUGAUAGCCGGUUGAUUUGACUGCGUUUUUGAUAUGGAAGCUGGGCACCUAAAUAUACGGUCCAAAAAGUGCAAAGCUUCCAUCUUAAUUGUGGAUGCAAGGUGUUUCAUCUAAUAAGAAUGGAAAUUAAUGGUUUUAAAUGUUUUUUUUUUAAUAUUANNNNNNNNNNNNNNNNNNNNUCUCAAAAAUAAAUUUAGUAAUAAUAGGCCUACAGUUCUACAUAUGCAGGCAAGGCCAUAUGCGGGCUAGGCUGCAUAGAAACCGGGCCGAUAUGAUAGUUUGAUUUUAGGGAAAAUUAUGUAUAUCCGUUGUAGUUUAUGUUGUUAUUAAAAUACCAAAUAGUUUUCGUUAUUACUGGAAUGUCCGUUUUUUACUUCAUAGCAAAAAAAUUUUAAAAAAGACUUUUUUACCCUUUUUUCGGUUUUUGAACAACCAAAAAUAGGUAGAAGCUUGGAAUUUGCAUUUUUAUUUUCGGUUGUGAAACAACAAAAAAUGUCUUGUCUUUGGUUGUUGAACAACUGAAAAUAGGACUGCAUAUUCCAGAAGCUUGUUGGAAUAUGCAAUCUUAUUUUCGGUUGUUCAACAUCCGAAUAUACCUUAUUUUCGGUUGUUCAACAUCUGAAUAUGCCCUAUUUUCGGUUGUUCAACAUCCGAAAAUAUCAUAUGAACAACAAAAAAUAAGACAAAACCUUGGAAUUUGCAUUCUUAUUUUUGGUUGUUCAAUAACUGAAAAUAGGACAUUUUUUUUAUGUUGAACAACCGAAAAUAGGACAUUUUCGGAUGUUGAAUAACCGAAAAUAGGACAAUUUCGGAUGUUGAACAACCGAAAAUAUAACUGCGUAUUCCAGAAGCUUAAACGAGCCCCUUUAUUUUCGGUUGUUCAAGAAAUAAAAUUAGCUUAUUUAGGGUUUUGAACAACCGAAAAUCUAACCAUUUUCGGUUGUUAAAAAAUCGAAAAGGGUAAAAAAGGCUGUUUUAAAAUUUUUAGUUAUGAAGUUAAAAAAAUCGACAUUAUAGUAAUAACAAAAACUAUUUGGUAUUUUGGUUAUAACGGAUAUAUAUAUAUAUAUAUAUAUAUAAUUUCCCCUUGAUUUUUAUACUCAAUCCCUUUUAUCAAACUUUUUUAUUUUAUCCAAAGUUGCACCUUGAAGGUAUGACGUUUAAAUUUUUUAUUCAUAAUCAUACUUCAAACCUUGGUCUAAAGUUUAAAGUUUUUUUUACUCAUAAUCUCAAUUUAGAGGUUGAAAGUCUAAAGUUUUUCCGAAAAUUAAUUCCAGACCUUCAAGUUUUGGUCCGAAGUUGAUAUUUGGAAAAAAAAAAUUUAACAAAAUGUCUUGAACAUUAACUUCGAAUUGUGAAGGUUUGAAGUUGAUGUGUGGAACAAAAACCGACAAGACCAACUGCCUACAAAAGGUCGCAAACAUCAAUUUUAGAUUUCGAAGGUUCAAAGUUGAUGUUUGUGAACAAAAACUUACAUCAGAUCUUGAAAGUUCGAAGUUAAUUUUUAGAACAAUGUAUAAGUAAAAAAUAUUAAACUUGGGACCUUCAAAGUCUGUAGGGGCAAUUUGGGAAAAAAAUAGGUAUGAACGUAAAAUAAAACCUUUUAGAAUAUUUUUUUAAUAACAAUGAUUCCGAAGGAUAUUAGGAAAAAAUCUUCUUUCUUUUAUUAUAAUCUCCCAUAAAAAUUGAUGAUUUAAGUUAUAUCUAGGGUUGCUUUUGCUUAAGGACCUGGUUUCUAUAUGGGGCAAGCCCGCAUAUGUAGAAAUGAGGGGCCUUUUAAUAAAUCUAUUUUUUAGAUGGAUUUUAAUACUCAAUUUUCUAAGACAUGUAAUCUCUAACAUGGAGAUCAUGAAUAUGAAAAAAUAAAUAAAUUUAAAAAAUUAAAAUAAUAAUUCUAGUAAAAAAAUAUUUGGACCAUUAGUUUUUAUUGUUUUUAGAUGAAACACCUAGUUGCAUCCAUCUUUAAGAUGGAUGCUUUACACUUUUUGAACCGCAUAUGUAGAAAUGCAAUCCAGCCCGCAUGAAACAAUUUUGAUGAGCUGCAUGUUAGCCUUUGCAUUGUGCACAUGAUGACUAAACCCAAGCCUUUCUCAAACACAUGAUACCUCACUUCGUAAAAGAUUCAUUUUCAAGAUAAUUGUUGCUUGGAUACAUUUCUUUAGAAACUCUCCUUUUCAAAGUUUAAUAUUACGUUUAUAAUGUUUUUGGGGUUUUUUUUUUCCCAAAUUGUGGAAAUUUUUUUUUUUUGUAUACUGAGACCUUCAAUGUCCCAAAUUGCCUUAUUUCAAACCCACCUUCAAAAUCUUAAAUAAGGCCCGUCUUAUUAAAAAAAAAAAGGAAAAAGAAAAAAAAGGAUUUAUAUGGUUCUAAACUUCACAUAAGACCGUCAAAUUCUGAAAUAGGUGAAAUUUGAAAAAAAUAAAUAAAAUCCAAAAAAUGAGAUAUACAUGUACUAUCAAAUUUUGAAGGGUGUCUUUUUCAUCAUCAACAUCGGAACCUUAUUUCAACUAUUUGGGUCGGCUACAUGAAUCCUUCCGUAUUUAGUUCUAUCAAAGCCAUCCUCCCCAUAUUUUUUUUCACUACUUCCAUCUAUGUCAUUUGAAUGUCUUUUUAAAUAACAAGAAUUUAAAAAACGGAAAAGUUUAUAUAGAGGCUCUAAACAAUCAAAUCAGAACCUAUCUCAAAAAUUUCACUAGAAGAGAUUGUUUUGUUGCCCAAAUAUCCUUAAACUGAUCAUCUCGACAUCAAGAUGCAUGGAUAUGAGAAAAAAAAAUGGAUUUUAAGUUUUAGAAAUAGUGUAUUUUAUAAUAUAUUUUUGAACCGUCAAUUUUCAAGAUUUUCAUGUUUUCAUAGAUCGAUCUAAAAUAUUUUGAAGCUUUAAACUUUAUAAAUAAAGAUGAAAAUAUAUUUUAAGGCUAUCACAAAUAUUUUCAAUAUCGAAACCACAUUUCUUGACACGAUUAGAAGGUAGGCUCCAAUUUGAUUGUUUAGAGCCUAAGCUCUAUACAAGCCACACCCAAGAAUUUUAAAGAGUAUAUGCUAAAAGUUCUCUAUUUUUAUUGACUGUUUAAUUACUUUUAGGGAUAAGUAAGUUAUGUAUAUUUCAUCUGGCUCCUGAAGUAUAUUUUUUUUCUAAGCUCACAUGAAUAUUUUCAUUAUUUAUUAUUUCUUUCUCCUUUGUUACCUUACCUUCAACCUGCCAUUUUCAUGAUAUGUCCCUGUCUUUUCAUCAUUCUAUUGGAAAGAAAACUAAUUGCCAUAUUUCCAGUGAUUUAAAAGACCUAUACAUUUUUUAAAAAAUAUAAAAGCCCCGAAAGUUAAAAAUUGAAGGUUUGUUAAAUCAGGAUUCUGAAGUUGAUUAAGAUUUUGAAUUAGAAAAUCAAAAUUUGAAUGAGUUUUUGUUAUUAAAUGAUUUAAAUGAAUUUGAUUUCUAGACAAAUUCAUAUAUGAGCUGGAAAGAGGAUUCAGUAUAACGAUGUGGUCCAUAUUUCAGGCCAUGUUAUGUUGAGACCCUACCUUUUUUAUUUUUACAAAUUACUUUUUUUUGGGUGGGUAAGAUAUAGAUUAUCAGAUUCAAGAAAAUUUAGAUUGAAAUCAAGCUCGUGGGGACUAUGCCAAUUGCCAUAGGACCAACAUAACCCAAAGAGUGUUUCAAUCAUGAAUUUUGUUAGGGGUGUGGUUUCUAUAAGGUUGCAACCUUAUACAAUCCAAUGAAGGCACAUCUCCAAAUUUAUCAUAAUAUGUAAUUUUAGUAUAGAAACCUCUUAGGAUUAUCUGAAAUUAUAGUUUCAUGUCUAAUUAUAAAAUUUUAAACUCCAAAAAGGUUAAAAUGAAAUAGAUAUAUACAUAUGAAUAUCUUGAAAAUGGAUGUUCUAGAUAAUGUGUUGCAAGAUGCAUUAUUUUUAGGACUCAAAAUCUUUUUUUUUUUUCUCCGUAUUCACCCAUCUCAAUGUCAAGAUGAUUAAUUAGAGGGUUUUUCAACAUUAAAACAACCUUCUCCAAUAGAUUUUUGAGGUACAUCUUAAAUUCUACAUUUUAAGGUUGCAACCUUACAUAAAACUUUCUCCCUUUGUUCAAUGAAGUCUGCCAAUUAAAAGAAUGCAUAAGGGGAAACUAGUAAAUCAGCAUAAAUAAAUUAUAGAUAUGAAACCCAAAAACCAUGUCUUUGAGUGGAAUAGCAAAACAUAUGAUGAACAAGGAGAGACAUGAACUUCUUGACAUCACAUAUCAUUACGCAGUUAUUAGGUCCAUUAAGGCCUACAAUGAACCUACUAUGCCUGUGAUAGUCUUGGAACUUAUCCAUCACGGCCUUCACGGAUCGAAUAGCUCAUGGAACACCAGACACCCACUUGGGUGCUUCUUGGGGUGUUGGGAGGGAGAGAGUAUCGUGGACCUAGUAGAUCUGUAAAAAGGGUACUUUGAGUAAAAAAUAAGGAAUAAAAUGAGAAAAAUGGGCAUAAGUGUAAAAUUAUAGAAAUAUGAGUCUUUCUUGAACUAUUGAAAAAUGAUAUUUUAGAUAAUUGCCCUUAAAACUUAAUGUGAUGUGUAUAGUUCUAAAGUCUAACUUUUGAACUGCUCAAAAAAAAAAAAAAAAUACUCAAAUAUAUAUAUAUAUAUUUUAGUAAAAUCGGAAAAAAAAACCCCAAAUUUUCAAAACCUCAUCUACACCAUUUUUCACUAUUUUCGGCUUUUUUUUUUUUUUACCAAAAUGACCUUCACAGUAAUCUUUUUGCCGUAAAGAGAAUUACGAUACUUUAAGUACCAUAAUUUAUAGAAAGGUCCAUACGGUAAUUUAUAUACCGUAAUUUUAAGGCAUUUUAUACGGUAAUUUAAUUAUCGUAAUAUAUUAACAUAAAAUUACGGUACUCGAAGUACCGUAAUGUCUUCCACAUAUUACGGUACUCCUUCUCUCUCUCUGUCUCAUAUAUCAAAAAAACCCACUUCUCCUGAGCCUUUUCCUUCGAAUAUUUUCUCUCUCUAGACUCCCAUAAUCAAACUUGCAACCUCUUCUCCUUCCUCCAUGUGUUUUCUACACUUCUCUGCAAAAACCCAAAUCUUUCCUUCUAUUUUCACACUUUUUGUAGCCUUUCUCUCCUUUGUAAAUGAACCCAUUAUCGCUCCAAAACCUAAUUCUCUCUCUCUAACCCUUCAUAAAGAAUCUCAAUUCUUGGUGCCUGAUCAACAUUAACAGACCUUGGUUCAUGGCAAGUUCUAUAACUUUUUUCGACCACCCAAUUGACUGAACAUGAAAAGUCCUUCCUCAUUUUUUUCGACGAAAUUUGGUAAUUUUUCAUGAAAAUGUUCAAGCAUGCACAACUCUUUAAUGAAAAACAGUGAACCGAGAAAAAAAGAGAAAAACCCCACUUUUAUUAUAGAAAAUAAAUGUGUUUAAAACUUGUAUAAAUCAUAAAAAAAGAAAAAAAAUGAAAAAAAAAAAAACCCAAUUCAAUAGCCACAACUGAAGACAUCUAUUGAAAGUUCCCAACUUUACCAAUCCCUUUGCUCGAGUUCUCUCUCGAACUCAGCUUUUCCUUUAGUUCACAGAGUGUGGGAGGAGAGGGGUAGCCCUGAUAAACUUUUCACCUAAUUUACAUAAUGCAGGAGGACCUGAUAAACUUUUCACCUGAUUUACAUAAUGCAGGAGGAGAGAGGUAACCUUGAUAUUAGUUUCGGUUUGAAGCUUUUCAACUAAUUGCUAGGGUAGCCUUAAUAUUUUGGCAUUUGGAAUUGACUGGGAAAGUAUUACAAUAAUAUGCGUACCGUAAAGACUUCCCCUUAUAUUACGGUAAUUAAAUUACUGAAUAAUAAUUCAAACUAUUACCGUAUUUAAAUUAUCGUAAAAGUAAUGAUCUUACAGGACCCUCCCCCACCCAUGUGUGUAGGACCCCAAAUGAUCACCAUUAAAUUUAGCACGGAUAUCUAAAAAAAUUAUCACAAACUUGAUUUUUUUAAAGAAAUCGAAUAAAAAAGGGCUAUGAGUGUAAUGACAUAAGUUUGUUGGAAGCUUUUUAAAUAAUGAGAAUUCAUCAAUAUUAAAGAACUUGGGAACUUUAAGGUCUUGAGUUUCUCUUAUGGAUUCCACGAGAGGAAUUCAGGACCUUGAAGGUCUUAAGUCAAGAGCAAUUUUGGUAGUUUUAAAACAUUAAAAAAAUGGGUAUGACUGUAAUGACAUAAAACUUUCUAAGUAAUGAAUUCUAGGAUGUAUGUGUAAAAUUCUCUUGAUAUCAUUUUGCAUAUUGUAAAAAGAGUUGGAACUUUCAUUUUCUUCCCCCAUUUCACCCAACAAACUCCAACAUUUUUUUAUCGCAUUUUUUACCCCUAAACAAACUUUUAUAGCAAAUAAACCCCCCCCGCCCCCCUCUGGUCAUUGGUUUGACACUUGUAAAUGUGGUCCGACAAAUUGUUGUUGCGGUUAUAAUGAUGUGUCGGUCCGGUAUUGGUAAAUGCGGUCUAACAGUUAAUGUGGUAUGGGUUCCAGUCCGGUAGUAAUAUGCGCCGAAUUGUCUUUGGUGAUUGAGCGUAUACGAGAAUGUGGCUCCUUCAUGUACGAGCAAGGGUAUUCUCGUCAUCCAAAUUAUGACUUUUUUAUUUGGGGGAGGUAUUUGCUAUAAAAGUUAGUUUUUAAAUAAAAGUUGCAAUAAAAAAGUUGGUCAGGGGGGGCGGUUGUAAAAAAAGUUGAGUCAAGGGGUUAUUUUUUUUUGUAAUUUUAUCUUUUUAAAAUAAUCCAAAGCUGCACGUCUAACUUUGGACUUUCAAUGAUCGAAUAAUUUUCAAUCUAAGGUUGCAAUGUAAGUUCAUUAUUAACUUCUGCCCUUCAAGGUCAGAACUUAAAGGUUCGAGGUAAGUAUAUAACAAAUGUUUACCGAAUUUUGAUCCUUUCAUCCAAGAGUUAAAUUUUAGACAUUCAAAACAAUCUGGUCAAAAAUAAAUUUUUUGGAAAGGGAGGAUAUGAAUGUCAAACAUAAAUUAUAGGGAGGGGCCAUAUUAGCAUAAAUUUAUCUAUUUUCUAUUGAUAUUUAUUGUCUAAUAAAGGCAUGUAUCAUUCUCUUGCAAGAGUCCACGAUACACUUACUCACUUAGGCAAAUGAUUUACUAGAGAGGCAUUCUUUAGAACAGAAGUUUGAGGCCCACUUUUGAUACAUAUUUACUCCAACAAAAGAUCUACUAAAGAGGACUUUUUCAGUCUAGCAGUUUGAGACCUACCUUUGAAUCGCUAGAUGAGUAUUUAAAGAUUUCCUUUAUUUUUUUGAAAAUUAGAAAAAUGAUAUAGACAUUUUUCAAUUUUAUAAAAAGGUCCCUUUUUUUUCUCUCUAUUCCCUAAAUUGCCCCUAGUUCGACCGUAAUUACGAUUAUUUCGCCAUUUUUUUGGUUUACUACUUAAGGAGUAGUUGGACCCUUGAAGGGUUGAACUGCAUUUUAAGUGCAUAUCCCUCUAAAUUCAUUUUCGUUUACCUUUUUUUUUCUUUUCUUUUUUUUUCUUUUUUUUUAAGAAAUUUGAGUGCAUGUUGCUCCAAAUUCAUGUUAUUUUAAAGGGAAAAGUUUACAUAGAGCCGAGGCUCUAAACAAUCAAAUUAGAGCCUACCUCAAAACUUUCACUAAAAGAGGUUGUUUUGAUGCCCAUAUAUCCUCAAAUUGAUCAUCUCGACAUCAAGAUGCAUGAAUAUGAGAAAAAAAAAAAAUGGAUUUCAAGUUUUGGAAAUAGUGUAUUUUGUAAUGCAUUUUUGGACCGCCAAUUUUCAAGAGUUUCAAGUUUUCAUAGAUCUGUCAAUCUACACUAAUUUGAAGCUUUAAACUUGAUAAAUAAAGAUGAAAAUAUAUUUUUAGGCUAUCACAAAGAUUUUCAAUAUUGAAACCACAUUUCUCAACACUAUUUUAAGGUAGGCUCUAAUUUGAUUGUUUAGAGCCUAAGCUCUAUACAAACCGUACCCUAUUUUAAAUAUCCCUUCUAAAAGUUUAUUUUUAUGCUAAUACCUAUUUUUUAUUUUUUAUUUGUUUUCGAUCAAAUUGCCCCUACUUCGGACCUUAAGACCAAAGUUUAACUUGGUUCAAAAAAAAAAAAAAAAAAACUUUUAUUAUGAAGACGACACAACCACUCUUGUCCAUUUGAUUUCAAACCGGGUGGUUCUUCAGAGUUCAAAAAAAAAAAAAAAAUCAAACUUUUAAGCCAUCCAAUUUGACAUUUAAUGACUAGAAGUAAUUGUGAUAAAUAAUCACAUAAUAUACACAAUCUCUUGUUUUUAAAGGUAAAUUGUGGAUCUUCAAAGUCUAAAGUUUGUUUUUUAAGGUAAACUUCUGAUGACCUUCAAGGUUCGAAGUUUAUCUUUGGGAUAAUGUUUGUAGGGACAAAAGUCACAAAACUAAACUUCGGACCUUCAAUUUUCGAAGUAGGUGAAUUGAGUCAAAUUUCUCUCUUUCUUUUUGGGUUUUUUUUUGAGAAAAAGCAUAAAAGUAAAAAUAGAAGUAGUUUGACACCUAAAGGGUAAAACUACUUUCAUUUAUUUUUACUUUUAGAUGUAGUUCGAAUUUGAUCCUUUCAAGGUUCAAGCUAACUGGCCUGGUUCAAAGCAGCUUCUGGUUUGACCAAAAGUAAAAUCAGAAGCUAGUUAGACCCUUCAAGGUUCAAACGAAGCUUAAUUUGACGACUUGUGGUCGAACUAGAAGUUGGCUCAAUGCUUUUGGUUUGACCGAGGCUAGUUCAACCCUCGAAGGGUUGUCAAACUAGUUUGCAGGGUCGACAAACUACCUUAGUUCAACCCUUCGCUAGCAACAAGUUGGGAGAGGCUAGACAUAAUUGAAACAAAAAAAUAAAAGUUAAAGAAGUAAAGGGCUUGGCCGGCCCUACAUAGUCCUGCAUUCGAGCCACAUUAUUGUGGCCAAGGCGUUAUUUUUUGAGGGACAGGCCAAUUGGGCCGGGUAGGGCCACCCCGCCCCAUUGGCAUCCUUAUCGAGGGUUGAAUCUGGCCCUUAAAAGACCCAAGCUCCUUCUAAAGCAAUGAAAACAUAUAGCUCCACCCUUAAGAGAAAAAAAAAAAAAGGAAAAAAAAAGAAGCAGAUGUAGUUUGAGCCUUCAACUUAGUCUACCGUUGAAUUGUGAAAUCUAGUAUUUAAAAACUCAAUUCUCUCUCUUUAUUUUUCUUUUCUUUUUUAAUCUUGAAAUUUAUAUUGAAGAAAUCAGUUGCACUCAAAAAAAUACAAAGGUUUAUAUUCUUUUCUCUUUCUCAAAUUUAUUUUUGUCAUUUUUUCAGGUGAAUAAUUUAUUUUUGUUUUAGAUAUCAUCUUUCUAAUUGCUAUAUUACCUAGAGAGAGAGUGUGAGAGAGUUGGUAUGUUACCUAGAGAGAGAAAGAGGGGAUAUCACAAUAUUUCUAAAUUUCUAAUUGCCAUAUUACUUAGAGAGAGAGAGAGAGACCGAGAGUGAGAGUGAGAGAGAGUAGUUUAGAAAGAAGUUACAGAGAGCGAGGAACUUAAAAACUCAUUCAUAGAGAGAGAGAGNNNNNNNNNNNNNNNNNNNNGAAGACGAUACAACCAAUCUUGUCCAUUUGAUUUCAAACCGGGUGGUUCAUUGACUGCCUUCAGAGUUCAAAAAAAAAAAAAAUCUCAAACUUUUAAGCCAUCCAAUUUGACAUUUAAUGACUAGAAGUAAUUGUGAUAAAUAAUCACAUAAUAUACACAAUCUCUUGUUUUUAAAGGUAAAUUGUGGAUCUUCAAAGUCUAAAGUUUGUUUUUUAAGGUAAACUUUUGAUGACCUUCAAGGUUCGAAGUUUAUCUUUGGGAUAAUGUUUAUAGGGACAAAAGUCACAAAACUAAACUUCGGACCUUCAAUUUUCGAAGUAGGUGAAUUGAGUCAAAUUUCUCUCUUUCUUUUUGGGUUUUUUUUUGAGAAAAAGCAUAAAAGUAAAAAUAGAAGUAGUUUGACACCUAAAGGGUAAAACUACUUUCAUUUCUUUUUACUUUUAGAUAUAGUUUGAAUUUGAUCCUUUCAAGGUUCAAGCUAACUGGCCUGGUUCAAAGCAGCUUCUGGUUUGACCAAAAGUAAAAUCAGAAGCUAGUUAGACCCUUUAAGGUUCAAACGAAGCUUAGUUUGACGACUUGUGGUCGAACUAGAAGUUGGCUCAAUGCUUUUGGUUUGACCGAGGCUAGUUCAACCCUUGAAGGGUUGUCAAACUAGUUUGCAGGGUCGACAAAACUACCUUAGUUCAACCCUUCGCUAGCAACAAGUUGGGAGAGGCUAGACAUAAUUGAGACAAAAAAAUAAAAGUUAAAGAAGUAAAAGGCUUGGCCGGCCCUGCAUAGUCUUGCAUUCGAGCCACAUUAUUGUGGCCAAGGCGUUAUUUUUUGAGGGACAGGCCAAUCGAGCCGGGUAGGGCCACCCCGCCCCAUUGGCAUCCUUAUCGAGGGUUGAAUCUGGCCCUUAAAGACCCAAGCUACUUCUAAAGCAAUGAAAACAUAUAGCUCCACCCUUAAGGGGAAAAAAAAAAGGAAAAAAAAAGAAGCAGAUGUAGUUUGAGCCUUCAACUUAGUCCACCGUUGAAUUGUGAAAUCUAGUAUUUAAAAACUCAAUUCUCUCUCUUUAUUUUUCUGUUCUUUUUUAAUCUUGAAAUUUAUAUUGAAGAAAUCAGUUGCACUCAAACAAAUACAAAGGUUUAUAUUCUUUUCUCUUUCUCAAAUUUAUUUUUGUCAUUUUUUUAGGUGAAUGAUUUAUUUUUGUUUUAGAUAUCAUCUUUCUAAUUGCUAUAUUACCUAGAGAGAGAGUGUGAGAGAGUUGCUAUGUUACCUAGAGAGAGAAAGAGGGGACUAGAGAGAGAAAGAGGGGAUAUCACAAUAUUUCUAAAUUUCUAAUUGCCAUAUUACUUAGAGAGAGAGACCGAGAGUGAGAGUGAGAGUGAGAGAGAGAGUUUUGAAAGAAGUUACAGAGAGCGAGGACUUAAAAAACUCAUUCAUAGAGAGAGAGAGAAUCUGGCAAAUUACCGUUUGCGAACCCAUCUCCAACGGCUAUAUUCCACUUAGAAGGGAAAAGGAAGCCCAAAACUAUUGUCCACCGCUGGAUAUAGUUUGUGCUUCUCCUCCCAUCCCAACCGUUGGAUGAAAGAUGACCGUUGCGAGCGUCCCUCUUUCCUUAUUUCAAAAACCCAUGGUGCCUCUUCACCCUUAUAUCUCUCUAUCGGACCGGACCAGACCAAACCCAUUUCGAAACCAGAGUUUGCGAGCUUAGACAGAGACAGAAGAGAGAGAAGAGGCAGAAGAACAGAGGGAGUUGACGAAGAUUGAGAGAGAAGGGUUAGAUAUAGAGAGAGAGAGAGAGAGAGGCCUGGUUUUUUCUUGCCCUCUUCUCAGUUUGUUCCUCUCACUGUGGCGAACCCUAAUUUUGAACCCCAGUCUCGAAGCCGAUUACAUUGUUUCUUUUCUACUGUUAUUUCGAGUCUUGGAGCUGUUGUUUUUCGGCAAAACCAGGAAGAGGAGAUGGCAGCAACCAGGAAUGCAGUACCCCAAACCAGAGGUAAUAAACAAUUUAGGGUUUAUUUUAUUUCAUAGCGAAUGGUUCUCUGAAAAUUUGGCUGCGUGCUUAUUUAGGAUCUGGUUUGGGUUUUUCAUUGGAAAUGAAUGUAUGACAUGUUCUUUUCAUUUUUUUUUCUUCCCCAUAGCUUUUGGGUCAGAUGAUCAUUUAGGGAUUCUUUGUGACUGAAUCUGUGAUUUUUUCACAGAAUUGAUCCAGAAUCCGUUUCUUGAUUCAUAAUUUCCUGUUUCUGUUAAAUAUCUGCGAAUUUUAGGGCUAUUUUCUUCUCCUGAAACUAGUUUUGAGAGAUUUUACAGGAGCAUUUCCAGAAUCAGUUUUAGGUUUCUCAUGGGCUCAGCUCUUUUAUUUUGUGGUCUCAGGGUUUCUUCCAUAGCCAUUCUAUGUCUUGGCCGUAUUUUUACAGAAUCUAUGUUUGGGUUAUGUAGCAAGUCAAUGUUUGCGUGUUAUUGUUCUUUUCAUGUCUAUAGCCCUCAAAACAAAGGCAUCGACACGGUUUACCCUUUAUUCUGGCUCUGCAAUUUGUUCUAACCUAAAAUGGGUUUAACGGCUUUCAGGUUUUUGAGCUCUUAAUCAAUCAAACUAUUGAUUAACUUGGAUUCAAGUUUUCUUUCUCUGGUAGUGUUCUCUAGAAACACUUCCAGAUUCAGAUUCAGUGGUUUUUUGUUGUCCAUCUAUCAAAUUGCCUGAUUCAGGGUUUUCAAGGCUUCAAUGGUUUCUUUUAACCUCUCAGUCUAUCAAAACGAGUCUAUUAAAACUAACUCUCACUUUUUAGUGUACUUUGCUGGCUCUUUAAAAUGCUUCCAAUACUUCCUCAGUUUUUGGGUUUUCAUUGUUUCUGUGAUGAUGGCUUCUCUCUCUCUCUCUCUCUCUCUCUCUCUCUCUCUCNNNNNNNNNNNNNNNNNNNNNNNNNNNNNNNNNNNNNNNNNNNNNNNNNNNNNNNNNNNNNNNNNNNNNNNNNNNNNNNNNNNNNNNNNNNNNNNNNNNNNNNNNNNNNNNNNNNNNNNNNNNNNNNNNNNNNNNNNNNNNNNNNNNNNNNNNNNNNNNNNNNNNNNNNNNNNNNNNNNNNNNNNNNNNNNNNNNNNNNNNNNNNNNNNNNNNNNNNNNNNNNNNNNNNNNNNNNNNNNNNNNNNNNNNNNNNNNNNNNNNNNNNNNNNNNNNNNNNNNNNNNNNNNNNNNNNNNNNNNNNNNNNNNNNNNNNNNNNNNNNNNNNNNNNNNNNNNNNNNNNNNNNNNNNNNNNNNNNNNNNNNNNNNNNNNNNNNNNNNNNNNNNNNNNNNNNNNNNNNNNNNNNNNNNNNNNNNNNNNNNNNNNNNNNNNNNNNNNNNNNNNNNNNNNNNNNNNNNNNNNNNNNNNNNNNNNNNNNNNNNNNNNNNNNNNNNNNNNNNNNNNNNNNNNNNNNNNNNNNNNNNNNNNNNNNNNNNNNNNNNNNNNNNNNNNNNNNNNNNNNNNNNNNNNNNNNNNNNNNNNNNNNNNNNNNNNNNNNNNNNNNNNNNNNNNNNNNNNNNNNNNNNNNNNNNNNNNNNNNNNNNNNNNNNNNNNNNNNNNNNNNNNNNNNNNNNNNNNNNNNNNNNNNNNNNNNNNNNNNNNNNNNNNNNNNNNNNNNNNNNNNNNNNNNNNNNNNNNNNNNNNNNNNNNNNNNNNNNNNNNNNNNNNNNNNNNNNNNNNNNNCUCUCUCUCUCUACUAUAUCUCUCUCUCUCUCUCUCUCUCUCUCUCUCUCUCUCUCACUCACUCACUCUCUCUCUCUCAAAUUGUGUUUCUGUUUUGGUUUUCAGGAGUUUUGGAGCACAACUUCUGGCCAAUGCACAGGCUGCUGCAGUCAAUAAGGUAAAUGAUCUAAACCCCCCUCCAUUUCUUGAUCAUUUUCAUCUUGAUUCUUAUCAUGCGAAUCAUUAUCUUCCUUGCUUUGGCAUAAGAAUGUUUUUUGCUUCCAUAUACAAUUUCCAAACUGUGAUAGAAUCGGGCAUAAAAGAAGAAUGAGAUUUUUUCUUCUGUAUACGGUAUCACCUCUAAUCAGUGAUAGGCGUAGGUGAAGUUCCGUAUUACUUUGUGAUAAAAUUAGGCAUAAGAAUGGUUUUCUCUUGAUGAAUUGGGUCCAAUCUAUGAUUUAUUAGGUGGUACAGAAACCAGUUGUGCCACCUCCGGCUAAACCCAAAGUCACUGUUAAGCCAAAGCCCGAAAACAUAAUUGAGGUUAGCUCCGACACAGAGCAGAAAAAAACACAAGAGAAGACUGCCAACAGAAGGGCAUCAAGGAAGAAAGUUCACACUCUCACUCAAGUCCUCACUGCUCGAAGCAAGGUAUUCAUCUCACUGUCAGUCUCUCUCUUUACCUAUCAGUCUUGUGUUUUGAAUUUGAAUCUAGCAUGUAUGUGCCACUCAAUUUUCAUAGCAUAUCAGUCUGUGUGGUUUGGCUACAUAUCUGGUUCAAAUAAAGAUAUGUGGGCAAAAAAAUCUUUGUUGCUUAUGAAGACCAAGUUUUGUUCUCACUUCUGAAAGAUGCUUGAAUCGUAAUGUUAUUUUUCUGCUGGUUAAUUCAGUUUGGUGUGAAGCUUUAUGUUUGUUAAUGUGAUAUUAGGUUGAUCUUGUUCUUCUAUUUCAUUAUGUGCAUGGCGAUUGUCAGGCUGCUUGUGGCUUGAAGGACGAGCUGGAGGAAAAGGUCGAUGACAUUGAUGCUGCCGAUGUCCAUGAUCAAUUAGCGGUGGUUGAUUACAUUGAAGAUAUCUAUGCAUUUUACAAGAAAGCAGAGGUAUAAUAAACUCUCUCUCUCUCUCUCUCUCUCUAAUGUCUUUGCUCUAAAAUGCCCUCGUUCCUAGUACAAAAAUGAAGAACUCUCUACCCGUCUCUCUCUCUCUCUCUCAUCGUCUUUCAAUUUUUGUGCAGAGUCUGAGUCAGAUUCGUGACUAUAUGGGUUCGCAAGUUGAGAUUAAUGAUAAGAUGAGGGCAAUUCUCACUGAUUGGUUGAUUGAAGUGCAUUUGAAAUUUGAGCUAAUGCCUGAGACACUGUACCUUACGAUGCACAUUGUUGAUCGCUAUCUAUCCAUGAAGAUAGUCAAGAGAAGAGAUUUACAGUUGGUUGGUGUCACGGCCAUGCUCGUGGCCUGCAAAUACGAAGAAAUAUGGGCUCCAGAGGUGAAACUAUCUACAUGAAGAAAGUUGAGAGGAGGGAUUUACAGUUGGUUUUCAAGAUUUCUGUUUAGAAUCUCUUACCAAUUUUCCAAUAUGUUUCACAGUUUUUUUUUUUACUGAUCUUUAAGAUUUUUCUUGUAUGUGGCCAUUUUAUUGAAUGUUGCUUGUUUAGAUGUUCCUAUAGUUACUACCCUCUCUCUCUCUCUCUAUAUAUAUAUAUAUAUAUAUAUACAUCUUCUGUAUUUUACGUUAAUUGUUGCAGUAAUAAAUGUACUUUGUAUGCUAUAUCAGAACAAAGCAUACAGACGAGAAGAACAGAUCCUGGCUAGUGGAAGAAACGACAUACUAGAAUGUANNNNNNNNNNNNNNNNNNNNNNNNNNNNNNNCUCUCUCUCUCUCUCUCUCUCUCUCUCUCUCUCUCUCUCUCUCUCUCUCUCUCUCUCUCUCUCUCUCUCUCUGACUACAUACAUCUUCUGAUUUUCGUUAAAUGUUUGCAGAUAAAUGACUUUGUAUGCAUAUCAGACAAAGCAUACAGCAGAGAACAGAUCCUGGCUAUGGAGAAAGACAUACUGAAUGACCUUGAAUGGAACUUAACAGUCCCUACACCAUAUGUUUUCCUCGCUCGCUUCCUGAAGGCUGCUGGAUCUGACAAACAGGUGUGAAAGCCAACCCCUCCCCCCCCUGGUCUCUCUAUUGUGUGGUGUGGUUCGAAAUUUGUAUUUCCAUAUUCUCUCUCACACAAUCAGUUGCUGGUUUUCAUUUGGGCAGUGCCAAAGUCCUCUUAGUUUCUCUCACCGUGUUGAGCCCCCUCCCCUAUUCUUUUAUCCAUUUCCCUCUUACUGUCUGUUUCUACUGGUUUUCUUGUGGGAUGGUGUCAUUUUUGUUUGUCAGUUCGCUUUCUCGUUAUCUCUUACCGCUGGUUUUUGUAUGGGGUGUUAUCAAAUCUGGGACUCAAAUUUCUCUCUCUGUGUUGAGUUCUUUUCUCUUUGGCAUGCAGAUGGAGGACCUAGUUUUCUUCUUUGCCGAGCUGAGCUUGAUGCAUUAUGUCAUGACGAAAUACAGCCCUUCCAAGAUGGCUGCCUCUGCUGUUUAUGCUGCUCGCUGCACUCUUAACAGGACUCCCUUCUGGACCCAGACGCUCAUCCUGCAUACAGGCCUUUCAGAAGCUCAAGUGAAGUAAGCUCUCUCUCUCUCUCUCUCUCUAAGAUAAUAUUUUGGCAAGGCCUUGUAGAAGAAGUUAAGGUCCCCCUCUGUUUUCUGUUUCCCUGCAAAGAAACUCUGUCAAAUUCAUUUAACCUGAAGUGGUGGACCCACUGGUUUCGAAAAUAUCGGAGAACCCCCCCCCUCCUAGUUAGUAAAAGUUUUUAACCUCCCCAAACAUUCAAGAGUAAGCAGUUCCCUCCCUGAUUUCACUGUUUCUAAAAUUUUCCUGAUUUUUGCUUGCCUGGAGAAGUCACUACAGGUUCUGAAAUUUUUUUAAAAAAUCACUGGUUUUGAAGAAACUUAAACAAAUCCAGUUUGCAGAGAGAGAAGGGAGAGAGAGAAGAAAAAAGGGUGGUUAUUUUUACAUAAGCUGAUUAUGGUAAUUAAUUUGUUCAUAUGAUUCAGGGAUUGUGCAAGUCUCAUGGCUGAAUUCCAUUCUGUGGCCAUCGAGAGUAAGCUGAAGGUGAUAUACAGGAAAUAUUCAAAUCCUCAGCUCAGCUCUGUCGCGCUUCUUCCGUCUGCUGCCCAACUCUUAUUAUCAAAAUCGCCAACAUCAUAACCAUCUUUUAAAUCAAUCUAAUAUCUAUGGUAUAUGUAAAGCGCAAGUUCCCCUCAGAACCGACGCGCCAAGUGAUGUUUUUUGAGUUUUGGCAGUUUGUUAUGUUUUUUAUUUGGGAAAUAUUCAAAUCCUUGGCUCUCUCAGCUGUGUCACACUUUUCCGGUUUGUCAUGAAAACCAGCAACCUUGAUUGAUUGUUUCUUUAUUAUGUAUUACACUGACUAAGAAAAUUUGCUCUUACAAUAUUUGUAAUUUUUGUGGAAUUGUAAUUUUUGUGGAAUAUACAACUUUGAUUUUCUACUGAAAUCUUGAGCAUUGAAACUCUUCAAAGAACCUAUCCACAAGAAUUUUUUGUAAAGCAGUUUUUUGUGUUUUUUAUUUGGGAAAUAUUCAAUCCUUGGCUCUCUCUCAGCUGUGUCACACUUUUCCGGCUUGUCAUGAAAACCAGCAACCUUGAUCGAUUGUUUCUU
Molecule: long non-coding RNA, 56122 nt
Filed under: Amborella trichopoda
Lineage: Eukaryota; Viridiplantae; Streptophyta; Magnoliopsida; Amborellales; Amborellaceae
Description: long non-coding RNA (ATRI_LNC001456)
Source: RNAcentral